UUUGCCCACAUGGGUGUAGGACCUGGAAACGCUGGUCGAGGGUUGUUGUUCGGGGCUUGACCUACAAUCGGUAGGUUGUUGACUUCAGGCUCGGAGUCGGACCCAUCUGAAAAGCCUUCUGCGAGGUGAUCAUCCAAAGGGAUUGGAUGAUCAACUUCGGGCUCUUCAUCGAUCCACCCGGCAUUGCCUUCAUUGGGAAAGUACGGGUCGCCAUGAUGGAUAUCUAGCCAUCAAGAUCUACGCGAGAAUAGAGGUAUAAGAAUAUAGUAUACGUGUAACUAGUAGCGCAAAAUACUCCUAUAGUAUUUUAAGUUUAAGUUCUAUUGAUCUUCUUGUGGUAUUGUUGGUAAGUUUUUAGACUUGCUAACCUAUCACAACCAUUCUAAGGCAUGUGCUAAUCACUCCUAGGAUCAGCAUAGUUGAUCAGGCUAUGCCAUUCCCAGGACUGACCAUACAUCCCCGAGCUCACUUGUGAUAUUUAACAAUCGUAAUACUUUUGUUCUUGUCAUUGUGACACUUAUUUUAGUAUGAAUGCAGACUAGUAUACUUAGUUAAAUAUUUUAUUAUUUUAAGUAUAGACUCUUGGUCAGAGUUUAAUCCCCAAUGGGUUUAUAGUUUAGUAUAUCUUUUAUGGGUUGAUAUACUCAAUUCACUAUAAACAAUGCUCUGAUACCAAUCUGUCACACCCCAAAACCAAGAACGGCGGAAACGUUCUGGGGCGGAGGACGUCAUGUAAGGUAAUCACAACACAGUAAAUGUAAAUAGGCAAACAACAUCAUCCAUUGCAUUAAAUAUAUAAAUUUAAUACAUGCGUGUUCUGUACAGUUUUAGACACCAAAAAUAUAACGUAAAUCAAAAUAAUAAAAUGAUGAGUCUUGAGUACGCUCCAUCAUCUCAAAAGCUGGCAUCGGUACCUGUCUACUGAUGACCUGAGAAUACAAGUUAUUUUGAAAGAGUUUAUCAGCAUUAAGCUGGUGAGUUCAUAAGUAUUUUAGUGUCAAUGUUCAUUGUCAAAAACGUUUGAACUUGUCCCAAUGUAUAAGUUUGUAAAAAUGUAAAUAAAUGUUUAAAAGUAUUUGCAAAAGUUUGAAUCUCUCAGAAAAUCCUAUAUUUUCUAUAAUAGUAACCUUCUACCAAGGCUUAACUGUUUUGUAAACUCGUCUGUUGUAAAAGUGUGUGAUUACCCAAGUAUAACUAUCAUUUGAUAAAAUAUAGUUUGUACAUUAAUGCUUAAGUGAGAUUAUCACCAAAAUAUGUAAUGGGUAAAUCAUUGUAGUACUGUAGUUUUGUAUAAUAAGAACUACUGUUGUACUAAUUACUACUACCUUAAACCGGAUUUAUAUUAAGGUAUAAUGUGAUAAUUGCACCAUACUAUCGACUGAUAACAACGACAUAAAGAACGGUCGUAAUAACGGAAUGACGUUUGGCACCCGCAGACCUGCAGGUCCGGCUGUAGCUAGCAGCAAGGUGUAGGAUAGUCAAUCCAGUAUAGAUCUAUACGCAAACUCAACGCUCUCCCUCCAAGAGAAUUCUGGCUACAACUCGGGCCAUGACAUUUAAGGCAUGCUCCGAUACAGUGGAUCACAUUUGUUAUCGUAUUCUUGCAUGUGUGAUGAAAUGUUUCUUGUUCUAGUAUAGUUGUAUAUGUUCUCGUAGUAUAGUUGUAUAUAUUCUCUUCCUAGUAUAGACUCAUGAAUGAACUGACUCAUUGAUCUAGCAGUUGUAAUAGUAUGAUUCUGUGUUACCCCGAUGGUAACUUGUUAACAGUGCGUUUAGUACAUAUGAUUAUGGAAGUACUUUUAUGUCUAUAUAUGUAUAUUUGAUAUAUAAUUAAUAUGGAAACGACCUUCGGAUGGUCACCCAAAAUCCUAUCAGACCACAUCCAAAUCGAGGAAAAGGAAACAAGGUGGAUAGCCUUCCUAAGCCCUUUAAACAUUAUUUAUACGUCUAUACAUAUAUGGGCAUGCAAUUUGUAAUAUAAAAGCAUAAAUAAGUAUUUAUAAGGCAUUUGAAACAUAAGUAUUAUUUUUAAAGAAAGAUUGACUUGAUGUCAAUCUAUAAAACCAUUUGAAGGUGUAGAUUUGAUUAAAACAGUUUAAGUAUAAGGAACAUUUGCUUAAAUCACAGUUGCAGUGUAAAUUCGAAAAGUAAAUGGGUUUGGAAAACAUUUAGAAGUAAAACAGUUUGAUAGAUAGUUUGAAUAGUGAUAAAACCACUGAUUUCCCUAGUUAUUAAUCACAUGUGAUUAGUACAAUCACAUGUGAUUGAAACAAUAACUAUAAGUAUUUAACUUGUAUUCCCCCCCUUUUGAAAGCAUAUAAAAGCAUUUAGAAUAUUUAACAGGUUGAUUAAGGGGUAUGAAACUCACUUGAUUGAUUGAAGAAAGCGAGAUGGAAAACCGGGCAGAGUUUCGUCUCGGAAAACGGAUUUUUCUCGGGAUUCUCGGGAAUCUCGGGAGUAAAAUCGACCCUCGGGACUUGAGCAAAAAGACCAGAGCUUCGGGUUAUAACGGGCACGGAAAACGAGACAAAGUUGUGAGAGAGAGGAGAGAAAUGAGCAACAUUUUCGGAAAGCCUCGCAUCCUAUUUAUAGGAAGGCUGAACCGCCUCCGAACGCGGGGCGUACGCUCGUACGCAGCGCGUACGCGUACGUCAUGCAUGACCGAAGCCUCGACUGCCUCGGUUCGGAUGGGACGGGUUGCUGGGUACGCGGGUCGGAUGGGACGGCGGGUCGGACGGGACAGCGGGUCGGACGGGUCGGAGCUUCGGACGGGUCGGACGGGUUAGAACUCUUCGGAUAGUGCGACGUGGACGAUCCGAGACCCUCGAUCUCAGUACGCGGGGCGUACGAAGGUACGCAGGGCGUACUUCGGUCCAAUCCGAUGACUCCCCUUCGGAUAUUACCGGGAAUUUAUAAUUAAAUUUUUAUUUAUUUUAAAUAAACUUCAAAAAUUCAUAUCUCUCUCAUACGAACUCCGUUUUUGACGUUCUUUAUAUCCUCGCGAAGGUGAGACCAUGAUCUACGACUUUCGUUUAGAUUCCGUUGGCAAAUUCCGAAAUUAUUUUUAUUAUUUAUUUAUUAAAAUGACGUGAUUAAGGAAUUUCUUCAAAAAUUCAUAACUUCCUCGUCCGAGGUCGGAUUUGGACGUUCUUUUUAUGUACGCAAACCUUGAUAUGAUUUCUAUUACUUUAAUUAAUCCGAAUAAGAUUUUAGGAAGGUUACAUUUUGACCUAAAUUUGAUCGGUUUUACAUUACAUUGACUCAAAAUAUCGGGUUGCCACAGUACUUGUUCUCAAGAGCAAAGAAAAUUCAAGAAAGUAGUUGUUAUUACUAUAUAGAAACAAAGGUAUGUAUUCUAAUCUUUUAUUUUUGAAUUUCAAAAAUUUUAGAUGCAUGCUAGGGUUUUCUUUUGUGUUCAUUUGUUGUAUGUCUAAUAGAGAAAAUAUAGAUCCAAAUUAGGGUUGCAUGCACACAUAAGAUUGUUUGUAUAAAAACCAACAGUGGUAUCAGAGCUAUUGGUUGUUGUUUUCAAUUAAAUUUGAUACAAUAGUUUGAAUUUGACAAAUUAGGGUUUAUGGAAAAUAAACCCUAGGGCUUGGAUUUUCGAAAUUAGGGUUUCAAAACGCUUGAUUUCGAAAUUUGUUAGGGUUUCUUGAACCCUUUCCUUUAGCAUCAAGUUUUCGAUUUUAGGGUUGUCUAACCCUAGAUUUCGAAAAUGCCUUCCUUCCCAAGAUAAGAUUUCAAAAUUCUAGGGAUUAGAAUAAUAUUAUCUUUGGUAAUUAUCUUAUUAAUUGUUUAAGUGGAUAAUUAAUGAUUUUGAAAUAUCCCUUCCCAAAUUUUCGAAAUCUAAGGGAUAAAGGGAUUAGGUUAAAUCAUUCAUUUAAUUUAAUGGAUAAUCCUAUGAGAUUUAAUAAUUUAAGUUAAUUGUUUAAUUUUGGAUAAUUAUUAAAUCAAUGUUUUAAUAUUUAAGAUUUUAAAUUAAAAAGUACUAAUUUCAAAAAUUUUAAAUUAGAUUAAAAACCAUAGUAUUUUGAAAUGUUUAAAAUACACCCUUAUACUCUACAUAUAAUUAAAAGUUUAAUAUUAUAUAUGUAUAAGAAAAGUCAGUCUUACUGUUAGUAAAUCUCAUUCACGAAUCUAGUCUAUAAGGGAAGUUUAAGGAAGCGGCCUAUAAAAUGACCGUCAUUGGGUAUCCAUUUUUAUUGUCACACCCCCGAAUCGAAGAGUACAACAGAAAUGUUCGGGGGCUGGCAUGACUUCAUCUUGUAAUAUCAUCACAGUGGUUGGUUGCUUAGGUCUUGUGGUUUGACUUAGGUUUGAAUAUCGUAACUUCUUCAUAUGAUCUCAAAUUUUAGCGAUCUUUAUAUCAACGUAUUUGUAUAUGAGUUUACUACAACUUUCGUUUAAAUUAAUCAUAUUAAAAAGUAAUGUAUGUUUAGUUACAAUAUUUAUAUGCAUACGUUCUUUAUGAAUUUAUAUAUGAACGUUUUUUUGUAUAAAAUCAUAAGUAGAAAUAUAUUACAUUUCAAUGCUAAUAACUAUAGUAAUAUGUGUUUUGAUAAAAAAUUAACAAACUAAUUUCGUAACCGGAUUAGUUAGUGUGGUGUGAUGUUGUAAAUAAUGUUAGUGAAAGUAAAGUGCUUAAGAUCUAGAAAUGUGUCGAAGAUCUUGGUUGUGCCCAAGAUUUUGGGUAAAAAAUAACGAAGUUCAGAAAACAGGUUAAUAAAAGUGUGUUAUUUCGUAAUGAAAAUAAGUGUAUUUGGGACAAAAAUAAUGUUAAAUUGAUUUAACAAGUGAAUUUGUGUAAUAAAGUGUAAGAUACGCAAAAAGGUACCAAGAUACCAAAAGUAUGUUAGUAAUUUCGACAAUGAAAACAGAUUAAUAAUUAGGUAAAUGCAAGAACACAACAAAUUACGAGGAGAGUCCUUAAUCCUUUUGGAUCUCCGACAUAAAACCUUGGGAGGUGAUGAAACCACCUGCUUUAGAACUUAUAUUAAAUCGAAAUAAAAUUACAAGUGCAAGCUGAUCUUAGAAAUGAUGUAAAAGUGCUCAAGUGUUGAGAGAAUUAAAGUGAAAAGUGGCUGUAAGAUCGUGUUUGUGAAUGAUAGUAAACUAAGCUUUAUAUACAUAACAAUAGUAACUAAAGUUCCAACAUUCUCUUCUUUAAUACAUGUUUGGCUUGACUUUUACGAUGGUCUUCAACGUUCAUAAGACAUUGACCACAUAUGAUUUGACCUAGUCUAUUCCUUUCUAGUCAAGCUCUUAAUUCCUGCAUAAGAUAUUACAAUAAAUACGAUGACAAUCCAAGAUAUUGGUUAAAUCCAAGAUCAUGGGCUUGCCUGGGAUGUUAGUACACGUUAAAGAUAAAAAAAAUAGUAAGCUAGAAAUUCUCCUCAUAACAAUUUCCCCCAAAAAUGUUUAAUCCAUGAUCCAGGGUUAUUGGAGAUUUCUAGGUGCAAUAUCCAUUCAACAAAUUGUGACGUGACUUCGCUCGAUUCUCUAAGUUCAAUCUUAUCUAUCCGUUCUUAUAGGAACUUUGAAUAUUCGGAUGGCCUAGAUUGUCAUAACAAACCUUUCUAUAAAUCUAAGUCAACCUUCAUAUUUAGCUAUAGUCGCAAGGGUUCUUUUUCUUCGUUCGUUCUCAGGUUUAUCAUGGGCAAGAAGCUUACCAGGUCUAGGCCUAGGUCCAAUGCUCUGGUUGAUAAAGAUUUCAUUAAUUUGGGAAUGUUGCCCCAAGAUGAGAGUGAGACCAACACUUUUUGCAGUGUUGAUAUUGAGUUACAUCGAUCAUCAUGUGAUUUUCCUUCCUGCACCAUUUUUAGGGUUCCCAAGUCAUUUCUUAGAUCGUAUUAUCUCUCCUCAAUUUGGAUAUGCUUUUACGAAUUUCCCUUUCCUAUUGGUUUAUCAUUCCCUUUUCCUCCAUUGAUUUCAGAUUUAUUUGAAGUCACUGAGUUGCUUAUGCUCAAGUUAUGCUAGUUGUUUGGCGUAUCUUGUUUUGGGUUCAUCAUCUAAAAGAGUCUAGAUGUAUGGAUCUCGGGUUACCCAAAAUUGAAAGUGUUAACAAUAUUCAAACUUUUAGGUAUUCUUGGGUCGUCUUGAAGAUCAAAUCUUCAAAUCCUUCUUUGGUUUUGAAUAGUUCUCCAACUGAAAAUAUGAUUGGAAGAUCUUUCUCCACCCAAAGAUUGGGUGAUAGAGGGCAAGAUCAUGUUUGUUUGCUUUUCCUUAUUUCUUUCCAAAUCCUUAACUUUUUGAUUUUUCUUGGACAAUUCCUAAAUUCGAUGAAAUCUACCUGGCUCGUGAAGAUAUUGAGAAUAGAAUUCAAAAAUUUUUGGAGCUCUCUGACGAAAAAAAUGUUUUAAGGCCUUGGCUAACUGCAUUUCUGAAGAAAUUUCACCACUGCUUUGGUGGCCAAGGAUCCAGAACCAGUUGGCAUAUUUGCAGGUAAGUUACCAAUAUANNNNNNNNNNNNNNNNNNNNNNNNNNNNNNNNNNNNNNNNNNNNNNNNNNNNNNNNNNAUAUAUAAUUGGUUAUCUUUGGUUGGGAUAUUAAUCAAGUUAUCUUUCUCGGGUCCUCGUCAUACUCAAUCAGGUGUUCCUUUUGGUUCUUUUUUCAAUGUUGAGGAUUUCGUAUCAUCAACACGUAUUGUAAAAACAUAGAAGCCUUCUUCUUCUUCUGGUGUGAGAACGCUGGAAGUCAAGUCCAAAAGUCCAGAGCCCAAGAAUGUUGGAUUAGGUGUCUAAGCCCAUAACUAUAAUUGGUAUGUACUUGAAUUGAUAGUGGCAUGGUCAUUUUUGGUUGCCUUCACACUAGCAACUUGACACGAUGAUUAAUUGAGGAAGAGGAAGAAUUUAUUAUUUGGAAUAAUAAAUUGAUUUAUUAAUAUUUUGAUGGAAAUAAUAUAUUAAUUAGAAAUCAUAUUAUUAAAUAAUAUUUAUCAGAAAUUAAUUUUGGGAUUAAAUGAACUAAUUAAAAGUGCAGGGGUUGUUUUGCAAUUUAUUGAUAGUUGUGGAAUUUAGCUCUUCGACCAUCCUAGGAGGGAUGGACUAAAUCCUCUAAGGAAGGCCCUAGAAAUUUUGUUCAUGGCCUUAAGGAUGAGGAUCCAUGAGCUACUUAGGCCUUAAGCAAAGGGAUUAGGGUUUCCUUAUCUUAACCCUAACUUUGGCUCUAAGCAACCAACAACUAUAUAAAGGGCAUAAACCCUUGUGGAUUUUGGCUAGGCUAAGGUUCCUAAACCCUAAGAAAACCGAAAAUUGUCUCCUCUCUCCUUCUCUCAUAAUCAUCCUCUCGCUAAGUGUGUUUGUGAGCCAUUAGAGGUGUGACGCUUGCGACAAUAAGUUCUCAAAGUUCAAGAUCUACAAGGUUUUAGAUUGUUAUUACAAUAGAACAAUCAAGGUAUGUAUUUUGAUCCCUAUGAUGUGACUUUCGAUUAUAAUACAUAAAUGCUAGGGUUUAUUGUAUUGUGUUUAUUGUUUGCAUGUUCAAUAGGGAAAACUUAGAUCCAGUCAAUUUAGGGUUGUAUGCACACAUAGGAAUAUAUGUUUUGAUCAAAACCCAUCAGUGGUAUCAGAGCCUAGGAUUAAUUUUCUGUUGAAUAGAUGCAAUUGUGUCUUGUUCUGAGGAGAAGGGAACAAAAUCAACAUUCUGUUCAAUGAACUCGUAGAGUUGUUCAUAAAAAUCGUCGAGUUGCAUGAACUCAUCGAGCUUGGUCCUCCAACUCAUCGAGUUGGUACGCCAAAUUUGAUUUCAGAUUUUCUUGCCUAACUUGAUUUACUAAGUUUAUAUUUGGUAAUUAUCUUUUAAUAAGUCUGCCAUAAUCUGUUUUUCGGUAAUAUAAGAUAAUUAAAUAAAAAUCUAAAUGUUAGGAGAUAAUUAUGAAUUAGAUAAUGAUGAUUUAUUUGAUUAUAAUUAUCCUUAUGGAUAUGGUUAAUAAUUUAAUUAAUUGAUUAAUUAAAGGAUAAUUAAUAUAUCCAUAUUUGGUUACCAGGUAAUUAUUAAUUGGAUUAAAUAAUUACUAUUUUUGGGUUGUUUGAAAUUUAAAACUAAAAGAUAUAAUUUUGGAAAUUUAAAAUGGAAAACCCUAAAAUAUAUCCUUAUGGAUUUUGUUAAUGGUAAUUAAUAAAUCCAUAUGUGGUUUUAAUUUAAUAAAAUUAAAUGUUUAAUUUACUAAAAGAUUAAACCCUUAGUAUUUUAAAAAUUUUAAAAUAUAACCUAUAAAAUAUGUAAGAUUAANNNNNNNNNNNNNNNNNNNNNNNNNNNNNNNNNNNNNUAUAUAUAUAAAAGCCAGUCUUACCAUUAGUAGGCCUCAUUCACGAAGCUGGUCUAUAAGGGGAGUUUAAGGUAACGGCCUAUAGAAUGACUGCCAUUGGGUAUCCACUCUUAUCCACUGCUCUCUUGACUAGUGGAGGGUCGUUAGCCGAACGGGUUUGAUAGGACACUAAACUCUCAUUAAAAGUAUAAUGGAUUAUAAAGUAACUAAAUCAUUUUUCUAAAAACCCCACUCUUAGUUACUAUAUUAAAAAUGUGAAUUUGAUGCUAACCCAUGAAAUUGCACAUUUCACCUUAUUGGUCGUUAGUGGAGCGUGUGUGCUUAACCGGCACACAAAUAUAGGACUAAUAUUGUUGGUGAAGGGUUUUGAGCAUUCUAACACUCCUAAGGUGUACAUGCAACCCUAGAAACCUUGGAUCUAUGUUUUACUAUGAUACAUGCAAAAUUGUUUUUCCAAGGUUCCUAACCUAUCUAGCAUAGAAUGGGGAACUUUUAAACAUAAAUGCUAGAAGAAGAACAUACCUUUUGUUGUUUGGAUUCCUUGAGAACCUUGUGAGCCUAGCACCUCAAGUGUGAUGCCUCAAAUGUCUCACACAACACCACAACACUUGGAAUAACCUUGAGAGAAGUUCACUAACACCUCAAAAUCGGCUAGCCCUCUUUCUUGCUUGUAUAAGUCCGAUUUUGCUAGUCUAGGGGUCUUUAUAUAGUUGUGGUACAAGUAGGGUUACACCAUGUAAACCCUAAUUGUCAUGGCUUUCCACAUUCCAUGAUCCAUGGGUUUGUAACCACCAUGAACUAUCCAUGUAGCACCGUAUGGGUUUUAACCCAAUCCAUACAAACCAUGGAUCAUUAGCCCACUAUACAAUAAUAGAUGAUUUAUACAAUCAACCCCAUAUAUUUAAUUAGUCUCUUUUUGAUCACUUAAUAAAUUCCAAAUUAAUUCUUUGAUCAAUACUAAUUAAAUAUUAUUAAUAUAUUAGAGCUUAUAAUAUAUUAAUAAACCUUAAGUGUCCUUUCUCUCAUUUAGUCUAUCCAAAUGUUGCAAUGCCAUGAAACCUAAAUGGACCAUGCUAACUGGGUCAAGUACAUUCCAGAAAUACUUAUGAACUUAGACACCUAAUCCAACAGUCUCCCACUUGGAUAAGUCUAAUAACUAUAACCGCAAGAAUGACUUCAGGAACCGAUCAGCAAUUGUAGCUCUUUCAAGGUCUCGCGGAACUGAGAUGAUAAUGAUACACCAUUUUAAGAUAAGUGAUCAUAUAAUCCUCUGUUCUAGAUAUCAGCUGGACAAAUACAUGGAACAAUGUCUUACUUAUUGUCCAACAAUUUGUUUCCCAAUUUCCGAUUUGUUUGACACAGAACUUAAUUGAACACAUCAACUUAGUUCUGACUGGGCCUGGUAAAUGGGUCAUCACAAAAUCAUCGAGGGGCCCAUAUAUCGCUUCUAAUCCAAGAAGGAACAUAUAAACUUUGACUCAUAUGCUUGUUCUACUACUUGUUGAAUCAUACACAAAGCCACGUUUUAUAACAUCGAGUUACCAAUGUGUUUUCGUACAAUCAAUGUAUAACCAACUCAUAGGCAAGAAGUCAUAUCUCUAGGUUUGAAGACUUAAACGAUAUUACCGUUUCACGAUCACUCUAGAUAAAUUCCAUGAAGUGAUACUAGUGAGCGUGGGUUGAAUCCAAUACUCAGAACUUAUGAGCACUCAUGAGUGUUGUAACAACACUUUGCAAUGUCCAACAUCUUAGACAUCUACAACCAACUACAUGACAGUCUUGAUUCAUAUCUACUUCUAACAUAGGACCGACUGUGGAGAAUUUGAAUAAUAUGAUAUACCAUAACAUAAUUAUACUGGAAGUCAAAACAUGCAAAAUGAAAUGAUAGUAAACGAUUGAUAAAAGAUAGCAACACUUUACUCAAAAAGAAACAACAACUUUUAUUCGUCAUCAAAUGUCAAUUACACUUUACACAUUUCAGAGAUAGCUAACUACUAAAACUAAUAUCAUCCUUUCGCCCUAUGCACCUCGCAUGCUGGAGAUGCUUAACCCUAUCUAGUCCCUUCGUGAGGGGAUCUGCCAGGUUCUCAUCCGACGAUACCCUCUUUGCCAUGAGUAGUCCUUCUUCUCUUCGAUGUCUGAUGAAAUGGUAUUUUCUGUCGAUGUGUUUGUAUCUCCCAUGAUCCCUUCGUUCCUUGGCUAAGGCAACUGCACUUUCACUAUCACAUAAAAUCUCUACAGGCUCCUUUAUAGCUGGUACAACUCCAAGGUCUCCAAUGAAGUUCUUAAGCCAUGUAGCCUCCUUUGUUGCCUCACUUUCCGCUAUAUACUCUGAUUCACAAGUUGAAUCAGCCACUGUCUCCUGCUUGGAACUUUUCCAUGAAAUUGCUCCUUCGUUUAAGGUAAAGACCCAGCCUGACUGAUAGCAGAAAUUAUACCUAUUAGUCUGAAAGCUAGCAUCACUGUACCCUACUACUCUGAAGUCAUCACUCCCACUGAGGGUAAGGACCCAGUCCUUAGUCCUCCGCAGGUGCUUGAGAAUGUGCUUUACCACAGUCCAGUGAGCCUUGCUAGGGUUCCCCUAAUAUUUGCUGACCAUGCUCAAUGCAAAGGUUACAUCAGGACGAGUACAAGUCAUAGCAUACAUGAUCGAGCCUACAGCGGAAGCAUACGAUACUCGACUCAUCUUUGCUAUCUCAGCCUCUGUACUCAGACUCUGAGUCUUACUCAGUCUGGCGUUACUCUGGAUCGGUAACUCUAUUUUCUUGGAAUUCUGCAUGCUGAACCAUUCAGCACCUUCUCCAAGUAGGUACUCUGACUAAGUCCAAUUAGUCUCUUACUCCUGUCUCUCAAAAUCCUUAUCCCUAGGAUAUAGGCAUCUUUUCCAAGGUCCUUCAUAGCGAAACACUUCCCAAGCCAGGACUUCACUUCCCGCAGAGUUGGGAUGUAAUUUCCUAUGAGUAGUAUGUCAUCCACAUACAAUACCAAAAAACUAACUAUACUCCCACUAGACUUGACAUAUACACAAGAUUCAUCGUCACUCCUCGAAAAGCCAAACUCUUUGACUUUCUCAUCGAAACAAAGAUUCCAUCUGCGAGGUGCUUGCUUUAAUCCAUAGAUGGAUUUCUCAAGCUUAGACACUCUAUUAGGGCACUCUGUACUGACAAAAUCCUUUGGCUGACUCAAGUAAAUAUCCUCAGCCAGUUUUCCAUUAAGGAAGGCGGUUUUAACAUCUAUUUGCCCUAUUUCAUAAUCAUGAAAUGCAGCAAUGGCUAACAUAACCCUAAUACACUUAAUCUUCGCUACUGGUGAAAAGGUCUCUUCAUAAUCAACUCCCGGAGUUUGAGAAAAUCUCUUUGCAACCAGUCGCACCUUAUAAGUGUGUACAUUACCAUCCAUGUCGGUCUUUUUCUUGAAUAUCCAUUUGCACCUGACUGUCUUACGACCUGGUACGUUGUCAACCAAGUUCUAUACUUGAUUGUCAUACAUGGAUUGUAUCUCGCUGUCCAUAGCCUCUUCCAUUUAGCAGCCUUAGGGCCUGCCAUGGCUUCAGUGUAGGUGUUAGUUUCAUCUAGACUCACCAGUGUGCUAUCACUGAUAAGUGUAUCACCUUCCGCAAUAAUAUGGAAACCAUAGUAAUGCUCAGGUGCAUUCCUAACUCUCGUGGAACACCUCAAAGGUACAGACUCUUCUGUCAGAUCAAUAGUGUAACAGCUCAAAAUUUUCAAACAAAAUUUUCAUUUUUAAAACAUAAUUGUUUCCAUUUUAAACAAUGCAUAAAUAGAUUAAUUAUUCUGUCAAAUACAAUUAUUCAAAAUCCCAAGAUCAUAAAGACAAUCUUCAGUGUGUAUCGAUCAUGCCGGCGCCUUCCCACGGUCCUCGCUAGUACCUGAAAUACAUGCACAACAACUGUAAGCAUAAAUGCUUAGUGAGUUCCCCAAUAUACAACUUACGCACAUACGCCUUUCCAGGCCCGACCUUCCGGUCCAUGUGUCUCAGGGGACUUCCGUCCCUGCUGGGUAAACCUUCCGGUCCUACCCACGCCGACCUUCCGGUCCAUCACACAACAUAUCGCCUUCCGGCCCAUAACAUAUUGCCUUCCGGCCCAUAAUAUAAUCGCCUUCCGGCCCAUAACAUACAUAGCACAUAUAACAAAUAACUUACCACAUAUAGCAUACAUAUCACAUAUCAUAUCCGACCUUCCGGUCACACAGUCAAACCCUUCCGGGUACAGUAUAGUGAGAAGACUCACCUCGUAAAUGCUGAAAGCUAGCAACUCCUGAAAUCACUCGUGCACAAUCCGACGAGCUACAACCUCCCUAUAACAUCACAUAUCUCAUUAACACUUAUAUCUUCUAAGUGUGACUAUCCCUAAGAAGUCAGACUUAGGUCAACUCUGGUCAACGGUCAACGGUCAACUCGACCGGACUCGGCGAGUACCAUGGCGACUCGGCGAGUCUAGACGUCCUCCAACUUUCUGAGAUUCCUUAUCUACUCGUCGAGUAUCCUCCUCGACCCGACGAGUUACCCCUGGAAGAAUCGCGGGGCCACCCCGACUCCACUCGCCGAGUCUGAAGAACAACUCGGCGAGUCCCAGUAAAUCUUCAAGCUACUCGCCGAGUCUGAAGAACAACUCGGCGAGUCCAUGCCAUGCAGACGAGCAACUGCUUCCUGAAUUACGUAUGGUCCCGAGAUAUACAACCAUGGGACUUUCUGGACUUCUAAACAUCUCAUUACUGGGGUAUAAACGUCUGGGUAAUAACAUAAUAACCCAUCUAAUCACUAAAUGGGUUUCAUAAACCCUAAAUUCAUAAACACAUCAAAUAACAGAAGGGAAUCCGAAAUAUUACCUGGAAUAUGCCCUCUCUGUGUCUCCAAACCGCAGAACUCGAAUCCCUUGCUGUUCCUUUAGCCAAAACCCUUCUCCUCCUUGCCCAACAAUCUCUUCAAGCCCUAAUAUCCUCCAAUCUUGCUCUAGAUGCCCACAGCCGUUUAGGGUUCCUCUCAAUCGACUAAAAACGGACAAUGACGGCAUAUAAGAGCAUUAUAUACGAUCCAAAACCGAACGGUUAGGGUUUCUGCUGAACAGCGUCGACUCGCCGAGUCCAUAUCUGGACUCGUCGAGUCCAGUCGCGGACCCGCGACCAAGUCUGCGAUCCUACUCGGCGAGUCUAGGCUCCAACUCGCCGAGUCCCCUCUCAACUCACCCCAAAAACAUAAUUAAACAAUACCUGAGAUUUCGGGCUGUUACAACUCUCCCCCACUUGGAUUAGACUUCGCCCUCGAAGUCUCACUCUGCAAAUAGUUCCGGAUGCUGCUCCCGCAUCUCGCGUUCCGGUUCCCAAGUCAUUUCCGAUCCCUUACGGUGUUGCCAUUGAACCAACACCAGAGGUACCUCCUUGUUCCUCAGAACCUUGAUCUUCCGAUCCCUGAUAGCCACUGGUCUCUCCGCGUAAUUCAGGCUCGCAUCCACCUGAAUAUCCUCCAAUGGAACCACUGCCGACUCAUCGGCUAUGCACUUCCUCAACUGCGACACAUGAAAAGUGUCAUGGAUCUGACCCAACUCCGCUGGCAACUCCAACCGAUAGGCUACCCGGCCUAUCCUUGCAAUCACACGAAAUGGCCCAAUAUACCGGGGCCCCAACUUGCCCCUCUUCCUGAAUCGAAUCACUCCUUUCCAAGGAGAGACCUUCAGGAGAACGAAGUCGCCGACCUGAAAUUCAAGCUCGGAUCGGCGCCUGUCUGCAUAACUCUUCUGUCGGCUCUGGGCAGUCAAUAACCUUUGUCUCACUCGCUGAAUCUGCUCUGUCGUCUGGAGCACGAUCUCCGUGCUGCCCAUCACUCUCUGUCCCACCUCUCCCCAGCAAAUGGGGGUCCGACACCUCCUACCAUACAACAGCUCGAAAGGUGGCAUACCAAUGCUCGAAUGAUGGCUGUUGUUGUAGGAAAACUCUGCCAAUGGUAAAUACGCAUCCCAACUACCCCCGAAGUCUAACACACACGCUCGGAGCAUGUCCUCCAGCGUCUGAAUCGUCCGCUCGCUCUGACCGUCUGUCUGGGGAUGGUAUGCGGUACUAAAAUGCAAUUUAGUACCCAGCUCCUCAUGGAAUUUCUUCCAGAAUCUGGAAGUAAAGCGCACAUCACGGUCUGACACAAUCGAGAUCGGCACCCCGUGCCGAGAUACCACCUCUCUCACGUAUAUCUCCGCCAAUUUCUCCGCCGAAGAACUCUCACUGAUGGCAAGGAAGUGUGCACUCUUUGUCAACCUAUCCACGAUCACCCAAAUUGCGUCAACUCCCCUAGCAGUCCUCGGCAAUUUGGUGAUAAAAUCCAUAGUGAUCUGUUCCCACUUCCACUCGGGGAUCUCCAAUGGCUGUAACUUGCCAUGCGGUCUCUGGUGCUCAGCCUUAACCCUACGGCAGGUCAAGCACCUCUCAACGAACCAUGCCACGUCCCUCUUCAUACAGGGCCACCAAUAUUCCUUCCUUAAAUCCAAAUACAUCUUUGUAGCACCGGGAUGGAUCGAGAAUUUCGAUCUAUGAGCCUCUUCCAUCAACGUAAUACGCGUACCGCCCACGAACGGUACCCAAAUCCGACCCUGAAACGUCAUAAGGCCUCGACUAUCCUUGACAAACUCUGAGAUUAACCCCACAACCCGCUCUUUCUUCUGCAUUUCUGGUCGCACAGCCUCUGCCUGGGCCCCACGAAUAGCGUCCAAUACUGGAGUCAUCACAGUCAGUCUCAAGCAUACGUCUCGCAAUGGAGUGCUCUCCGCCCUGCGACUCAAUGCAUCGGCUACCACAUUAGCCUUGCCUGGGUGGUACAGGAUCUCACAAUCAUAAUCCUUGACCACAUCCAACCACCUCCUCUGACGCAUAUUUAGGUUGGGUUGAUCCAUCAAAUACUUCAAACUCUUAUGGUCCGUGUAUAUCGUACAUCGAACCCCAUACAAGUAGUGACGCCAAAUCUUGAGAGCGAACACUACUGCCCCCAACUCUAAAUCAUGCGUGGGAUAUCUCGCCUCAUGAGGCUUCAGCUGCCUCGACGCAUAAGCUAUCACAUGACCCCUCUGCAUCAACACUGCACCCAAUCCCGAAAUCGAUGCGUCGCAAUAUACCACGAAAUCUUCCAUCCCUUCUGGGAGAGCUAAUACCGGGGCUUCGCACAAUCUCUGGCGAAGUGUCUCAAAGGAGGUCUGCUGCUCGGGCCCCCAUGAGAACGUAACACCCUUCCGGGUCAAUCUGGUGAGUGGCACUGCGAUCUUGGAGAAAUCCUUGAUAAAUCUCCGAUAAUACCCUGCCAACCCAAGGAAACUUCUGAUCUCAGAGGGUGACUUCGGCACCUCCCAACUCAUCACCGCCUCAACCUUGGCCGGAUCGACCAAUAUCCCUUUCUGAUUAACCACAUGUCCUAGAAACUGGACCUCCCGCAACCAGAAGUCACAUUUGGAGAACUUUGCAUAAAGUUUCUCCGACCUCAAUACCUCAAGGACCUCCCUCAAAUGCUCCUCAUGCUGCUCUCUCGAUCUCGAAUACACCAGAAUGUCGUCGAUAAAUACGAUCACUGACCGAUCCAACAUCGGCCUGCAUACCCUGUUCAUGAGAUCCAUGAACACAGCCGGGGCAUUGGUGAGUCCAAAAGGCAUCACCACAAACUCAUAAUGUCCAUAUCGCGUCCUAAACGCUGUCUUCUGGACGUCUUCAUCCCGUACUCUCACCUGAUGGUAACCUGACCUCAGAUCGAUCUUGGAAAACCAAGAUGCUCCCUGCAACUGAUCGAAUAAAUCAUCGAUCCUCGGCAACGGGUAACGGUUCUUGACCGUUAGCUUGUUCAACUCCCGGUAAUCAAUGCACAUCCGGUGUGAACCAUCCUUCUUUUUGACGAACAGAAUAGGUGCUCCCCAUGGCGAGCUGCUCGGCCGAAUGAAUCCCUUCCCCAGCAACUCCUGGAGUUGCGAGGACAACUCUUGCAUCUCUGGAGGUGCAAGACGAUAGGGCACUUUAGCAAUAGGUGCUGCCCCCGGAACCAGAUCAAUACUAAACUCUACUUGCCUCACAGGCGGUACUCCCGGCAACUCCUCGGGAAAGACAUCUGAAAAUUCGCGCACCACCGGAACUUCCUCAACUGACUUCGGUUUCUCGGAAACCUCCCGCGUAUCCAUCACAUACGCCACAAAACCCUUACAGCCCUGCCGUAGACACUGCCUCGCCCUAGCGGCCGAACAAAAAGCUGAUCCCGAACGGGUACCCUCGCCGUACACCGAAAGAACUCCCCCUCUAGGGUCUCGUAUAGUCACCAACUGACGCUCACAGUCGAUGACAGCGCCGAACCGGCUCAGCCAGUCCAUGCCCACGAUGACACAGACAUCCCCCAUCGCGAUAGGAAUCAGAUCAAUCGGGAAUCCAACCCCGAAAAUCUCUAGUACACAUCCCCGAAGAACCUCCGUAGCACAAAUCACCUUCUCGUCAGCUAUAGAAACUCUCAAAGGUCGACUCAACGACUCACGACUAACGCCGAUAUGCUGACUAAAGGCUAAGGACACAAAGGACCUACUCGCACCCGAGUCAAAUAACACUAAGGCAGGCACAGAGUUCACAAGGAAAGUACCUACGCGCAUAAUAACAUAAGCAUAACAUAUCGACAUUAAAAUAAUUACAUGAAUUACAACAUACCUGCCACAACAUCGGGCGCAGCGCGGACCUCCUCCGCAGUCAGCUGAAAGGCUCUCCCACGAGCCCUCGGGGCCUCGACCUUCACCGGUCGAGUCUCAGUAGUCCUGGCAACAGGUGCAGAUCCCUGACGAAGCUGAGGGCACUCGGCCUUCCGAUGGCCGGUCUGGUUGCAAUGAAAGCAAACCAUAAAUCCCUUGGGACACUCCCUAGCAAUGUGUCCCUCCUUGCCACACUUGUAGCAAGCACCGGCUCGACACGCCCCAUCGUGACCCUUACCGCACUUUACGCAAGUGCGGUUCUUCGAACCUCCCGUCCUCGAAUCGGCGGACUUGAUCCGCUUGGCUGCCGGCUGAGACUGAGCCGGCCGCCGGUCUGCCUGCUGAGACUCGGCCUCCUCCCUGGCCUGAGUCUCUAACUCGAUCUCACGCUUCCUGGCAUUCGCCUGAAGCUCAGUAAAAGUAUGGUAAGUGGAGUUUGACACAAACUCCCGGAUCUCCCUCCUCAGAACACCCAAGUACCGGCUCAUCCGAGCCUGCUCUGUGGCCACCAGCUCGGGGCAAAACAUCGCCCUCUCAUGGAACUUCCGCGUGAUCGCCGCCACCGAAUCAGUACCCUGCUUGAGGGUUAAGAACUCCUGAACCAAUCGUUCCCGCUCCACCGGGGGAACGUACUCCUCCCUGAACAUGGUAGUGAACCCCUCCCAUGUCACUGCCGCAGUCUCUGCCAAAGUGAAGUUCGCCGUCACGAACUUCCACCAGUCCUUCGCUCCCAGACGGAGCUGGUUCAAAGCGAACCGUACCCUCAGGUGCUCCGGGCAUGAACAAGUGUAGAAGCACCCCUCUAUAUCUGCGAUCCACCUCAUCGCAGCAAUCGGAUCCUGCGUCCCAUCGAACUCUGGUGGCUUCGUGUUGCUGAACUCUCGGAACAGCAAUGAAUCACCCCCCUGUGGCCUAGCAGCGGCCACAGCUGCGGUAGCUGCAGCGGUUGCAGCCUCAGUCAAUGCGGCGUACCGCUCGUCGAACGUCUCCAUCAGGGUGGUCUUGAUAGACCCAAACAUCUCCGGGAUCUCAGCCCGGAUCGCCGCCGCCACCUCCUCGUGGAUCAUCUGACGAAUAUCCUCGUCACUCACACCGCUCGUACUUGCUCCGUGACGCGGUCUAACCAUGAUAUCUCUGAAAUACAACAUAAAACUAUCAGAGAUUCUACCGAGUAUAAUCGUACUCGACACGCAACCCUACUCAGUCCCAGAUAUCCAGGGAUUCUUACUUGGGCCUCCCACUGACCCGGUGUCCUCGGUAGUACGGGCCCAAUACUACCGACCACACCGCAUCAAUGUUCAUCCCAAGUCCUCCUCCCCAAACUCCGGAUAGUGAGUACUCUACUUCUGAUACGCUCUAUCUACCCGCAUACUAGCAAAGCAUCUCAUAUAGCAAACUUCCCUAGACUAAGGCAUCACAAAUCAGGCCACUCUAGUCCUAUCAUGAAUACCUAGUCUUCUAGCAUGCAUAACAAUUCAUAUCAUAUAAUAUUGUAAGGUAUUUUGGGGAUCUUUACCGUUCGGGCGCUGACUGAUCGUACACACUGCUUCUUUCUUGCUUACCACAAAACCAUUUACAAAAGUUUAUGCCUUUAUUUGAAAAGUUUCCUCAAAUCCUCGGUUUGAGUUCAGUUACCCCCGAAGGUGCACCCGAAUCCCUCAAACCAAGGCUCUGAUACCAAUUGUAACAACUCAAAUUUUUCAAACAAAUUUUUCAUUUUUAAAACAUAAUUAAUUCCAUUUAAAACAAGGCAUAAGUAGUUAAGUAUUCUGUCAAAUACAUAUAUUCAAAAUCCCAAGAUCAUAAAAACAAUCUUCAGUGUGUAUCGAUCACGCCGGCGCCUUCCCACGGUCCUCGCUAGUACCUGAAAUACAUGCACAACAACUGUAAGCAUAAAUGCUUAGUGAGUUCCCCAAUAUACAACUUACGCACAUACGCCUUUCCAGGCCCGACCUUCCGGUCCAUGUGUCUCAGGGGACUUCCGUCCCUGCUGGGUAAACCUUCCGGCCUUACCCACGCCGACCUUCCGGUCCAUCACACAACAUAUCGCCUUCCGGCCCAUAACAUAUUGCCUUCCGGCCCAUAAUAUAAUCGCCUUCCGGCCCAUAACAUACAUAGCACAUAUAACAAUUAACUUACCACAUAUAGCAUACAUAUCACAUAUCAUAUCCGACCUUCCGGUCACACAGUCAAACCCUUCCGGGUACAGUAUAGUGAGAAGACUCACCUCGUAGAAGCUGAACGCUAGCAAAUCCCGAAAUGACUCGUGCACAACCGACGAGCUACAACCUCCCUAUAGCAUUACAUAUCUCAUUAAUACUUAUAUCUUCUAAGUGUGACUAUCCCUACGAAGUCAGACUUAGGUCAACUCUGGUCAACGGUCAACUGUCAACUCGACCGGACUCGGCGAGUACCAUGACGACUCGGCGAGUCUGGACGUCUUCCAACUUUCUGAGAUUCCUUAUCUACUCGUCGAGUACCCUCCUCGACCCGACGAGUUACUCCUGGAAGAAUCGCGGGGCCACCCCGACUCCACUCGCCGAGUCUGAAGAACAACUCGGCGAGUCCCAGUAAAUCUUCAAGCUACUCGCCGAGUCUGAAGAACAACUCGGCGAGUCUAUGCCAUGCAGACGAGUAACUGCUUCCUGAGAUAGGUCUUGUCCCGAAUUUCACAUGCAUGGGACCUGCUGGACCUCUAAAGGUCCUACUACAAGAUUAUAGUCGUGGGUAACAGGGCACUACAUCAUCUAAUCACUAAAUGGGUUCUAUAAACCCUAAUUUCAUAAGUACAUCAAUAUAGCAGAGCACACACGAAUUCUUACCUGGAUGAUGUAUUCUCUGUAUUCCCAAUCCUCAGAAUGUGACCCCUUGCUGCUCCUUAAGCCAAUCCUUUCUCUUCCUUGCACAACCACUCUUCUAUAACCAACAAUGGCAUGAGAUCCUUGCUCCAGCUGCACCCAAUCGAUCUAGGGUUCUUCUCAGAAGGCUAAAACGAACAAUGACGGCCAAUGAGACCCUUUUAUACGUCCCAAACCUGAACGGUUAGGGUUUCCGCUAAACAGCGUCGACUCGCCGAGUCCAUACCUGGACUCGUCGAGUCCAGUCGCGAUCCCGCGACCAAGUCUGCGAUCCUACUCGGCGAGUCUAGGCCCCAACUCGCCGAGUCCCCUCUUAAAUCACCCAAAAACAUAAUUUAAACAAUACCUGGGGUUUCGGGCUGUUACAAAUAGGAGUUUCCUCCUCAGGUUGAUUUGUUAGGGUUUGAGGUUCCUUCACCACUUGACUCUUGAAUUCCUUCAAGGUCAAUUUGCCUCCUACUGUUUCCUUGGCUCAUGAACUCUCUCUCGCGAAAGACUCCUUUCCUUGCUACAAAGACACAUUAUCACUAGGUCUGUAGAAGAGGUAGCCGAAGGAUCUCUGUGGCUAGCCGAUGAAAAUACACCUCUCACUUCAAGGUUCGAGCUUAUCGUGAGUCUCGCGCCUCACCAAAGCCUUGCAACCCCAAAUCUUGAUGUGGUCCGGAUAAAGAACUUUUCCGGUCCACAUCUCAUGAGGUGUUUUGGCAACCUUCUUUGUAGGGACUAGAUUAAGGAUAUGGGCGGCAGUCUCUAAGGCAUACCCCCAAAAUGAGAUUGGUAGUGAAGCUCGACUCAUCAUGGAACAAACCAUAUCCAACAAGGUUCGAUUACGCCUCUCAGCCACACCAUUAAGCUGUGGUGUCCUGGGAGGUGUCAAUUGUGAGAUAAUCCCACAUUCCUUAAGAUAGUGAAGGAACUAUGUACUAAGAUACUCAUCACCUCGAUCGGAUCGAAGCAUCUUAAUGUUCAUGCGCAAAUGAUUCUCCACUUCAUGUUUGAACUCUUUGAAUCUUUCAAAGGUCUCUGACUUAUGCUUGAUUAAGUAGACAUAUCCAUAUCUACUAUAAUCAUCAGUAAAAGCCACAUAGAAGCGGUUAACAUCUCUUAUGGCAGUUCUGAAGGGUCCACACACAUCAGUAUAUAUGAGGUCCAACAAACCCUCACCCAUAGCACAAGAACCGGUGAAGGUUGACUUUGUCAUUUUCCCAUGCAAAUAAGAUUCACAAGUAUCAUCUGACUUUAGGUCAAAUGACUCCAAGACUCCAUCCUUUUGGAGUUAGCCUAUGCGUUUCUUUCUUACAUGUCCAAGACGAUAAUUCCAUAAUGAUGCUUUAUCCAAGCUAGUGCAAGAAUCAAUACACAUUACAUUAUUUCCUAGGUUAUCAACAAGCGACACCGUUUCAUAUACACCAUCACAAGGUAAUGAUUUAAAAUAAAUAACAUUAUUAAAGAAAGCAUUAUACAACCACAUUCAUUAUCAAAUGAAAAGGUAAAACCUUGUUUGUACAAACCAUGAAAGGAAAUACUAUUCCUCGCCAUUUCAGACGAGUAACAACACUUAUUCAAAUCUAACAUUAAUCUACUACUUAGCAAGAGAGAAUAAAUUCCAAUUUUGGUGACAGGUGAAGCUUUCCUAUUCCCCACGAUCAAGUUUAUCUUCCCAUGCUCCACAUUCUCACUUAUUCUUAGUCCCUGCAAAUCAGUACAUAUGUGAAUACCACAACAUGUAUCAAGGACCCAAGAAUUAGAAAGCGGUGAAUUAUUAUACAAUAUAAUGUAUAUACCUGCAUGGUUGGGUUUCACUUUCCCGUCCUUCACAUCUUGCAGGUACUUUGGGCAGUUUCACUUCUAGUGCGACUUUUCAUGGCAAUAGAAGCAUUCAGCCUCUUUAGGGUGAGUAGAAGGAGUGACAAAACCUUUCUUGGUUCCACUUGAAGAGGAGCCAUCGAGGGACUUUCCCUUGGUACACUUCGAAGGGCUCUUCCUCUUCUUUCCUGUGUUUUACCCGAUUGCCAAGACAGGGGCUGUGGUAGGAGUAGGACUAGUAACAACCGAUUUACUCUUAAAACCAGUUUCUGAGUGAAGGGUUUUGAGCAUUCUAACACUUCCUAAGUGUACAUGCAACCCUAAUAACCUUGGAUCUAUGUUUGUCUAAUUAUCAUGCAAAGUUGAAUUCCAAGGUUAUAUUCCUAUCUAGCAUACAUGGGGAACAAUUUUAACUUGAAUCAUAGAUAGAAUAACUUACCUUGUUGUUGCUUGUGUUCCUUGAAACCUUGUGAGCCUAGCACCCCAAGUGUGAUGCCUCAAAUGCUUCACACAACACCAAAUGCUCUUGGAAAGACUCUUGAGAUAACACACACUUCUCAAAAUCGGCCAAGCCCUCUAGUUUCUUAGUGUAGCCGAUUUUGGUGGAGAAUAUGAUUCUUAUAUAGUGUUGACACAUCUAGGGUUACACCAUGUAAACCCUAAUGUGUCAUGACUCUUCAUUUCCAUGACCCAUGGGUUUGUAACUCCCAUGGAGCAUCCAUGGAGCAUCCUAUGGGUAGAACCCAACUUGAUAAUCCAUGGAGCCUCUUAGCCCACUAUACAAGAUAUGGAUGAUUUACAUAAUCAACCCAUAUAUUUAAUUAGUUAUCCUUUGAUCACUUAAUUAAUUCCAAAUUAAUUCUUUGAUCAACUAAUCAAAUAAUAUUAUUAAUAUAUUAGAACUUAUAAUAUAUUAAUAAUCUCCAAGUGUUAUUUCUCUCAUUUAGUCUAUCCAAUUGCAUGGUGCCAUGCAACCCAAAUGGACCAUGCCGGGUCGGGUCAAGUACAAGCCCGAAAUAGUUAUGGACUUAGACACCUUAUCCAACAGUCUCCCACUUGGAUAAGUCUAAUAACUAUAUCUCUAGUACUUCAGGAACCGACCGGCAAUCGUAGCUCUUUCAAGGUCUCUCGGAACUGAGAAGAUGAUGGUACGCCAUUUAAGAUAAGUGAUCAUAUAAUCCUCCGUUCUAGAUAUCAGCCGGACAAAUACAUGGAACAUUGUCUUGCUUAUUGUCCAGCAUUUGUUUCCCGAUUUCCGAUUUGUUUGACAUAGAACUUAAUUGAACACAUCAACUUAGUUCUGACCGGGCCCGGUACAUGGGUCAAAACAAAAUCAUCGAGGGGCCCAGAUAUCAGCUUCUAAUCCAAGAAGGAACAGAUAAACUUCGACUCAUAUGUUUGUUCUACCACUCAUUGAAUUACACACAAAAGUACGUUUUAUAACAUCGAGUUACCAAUGCGGUUUCGUACAGUCAAUGCAUAACCAACUUGUAAGUAACAAAUCAUAUCUCUAGGUUUGAAGACUUAUAUGAUAUUACCGUCUCACGAUCACUCGAGAUAGAAUUCCAUGAAGUGAUUCCAGUGAGCGUGGGUUGAGUCCAAUGCUCAGAACUUAUGAGCACUCAUGAUUGUUGUAGCCUUGUCCAACACCUUAGACCUCUACAACCCAUCAUGACAGUCUUGAUUCAUACCUACUUCCGACAUAUGACCGACUGUGGAGGUUUGAAUAAUAUGUUACACCAAACAAAAUUAUUCUGGAAGUCAAAACAUGCAAAAGAAAUAUAGUAAACGAUUGACAAGAGAUAGCAACACUUUACUCAUAAAUAAAACACCUUUUAUUCAUCAUCAAAUGUCAAUUACACUUUACAAAUUUCUGGGUUAUCUAACUACUAAAACUUAUAUCAUCCUUCAGCCCUAUGCUCCGAGCAUGCUGGAGAUGCUUAACCCUACUCAGUCCCUUCGUGAGGGGAUCUGCUGGGUUCUCAUCCGAUGAUACCCUCUUUGCCACGAGGAGUCCUUCUUCGAUCCGAUGUCUAAUGAAAUGGUAUUUUCUGUCGAUGUGUCUGGAUCUCCCAUGAUCCCUUGGUUCCUUGGCUAAGGCAACAGCACUUUCACUAUCACAGAAAAUUUCCAUUGGCUCUUUAAUAGCUGGUACAACUCCAAGGUCUCCAAUGAAGUUCUUCAGCCAUAUCGCCUCCUUUGCUGCUUCGCUAGCUGCAAUAUACUCUGAUUCACAAGUAGAAUCUGCCACUGUCUCUUGCUUGGAACUCUUCCAAGAAAUUGCUCCUCCGUUUAGGGUAAAGACCCAGCCCGACUGAGAGCGGAAAUUAUCCCUAUCAGUCUGGAAGCUAGCAUCACUAUACCCUACAACUCUCAAGUCAUCACUCCCACCGAGGGUAAGGACCCAGUCCUUAGUCCUCCGUAGGUACUUGAGGAUAUUCUUUACCGCAGUCCAGUGUGCCUUGCCAGGGUUCGCCUGAUACCUGCUAACCAUGCUCAAGGCAAAAGCUACAUCGGGUCGAGUACACGUCAUAGCAUACAUGAUCGAUCCUACAGCCGAAGCGUAAGGUGUUCGACUCAUUUCUGCUAUCUCAGCCUCAGUGCUAGGGCUUUGUGUCUUACUCAAUCUGGUGUUACUCUGGAUGGGUAACUCUCCUUUCUUGGAAUCCUGCAUGCUGAAUCUCUUCAGCACCUUAUCCAAGUAGGUACUCUGACUAAGUCCAAUUAGUCUUUUACUCCGAUCUCUCAAGAUUCUUAUCCCUAGAAUAUAGGCAGCUUCACCAAGGUCCUUCAUAGCGAAACACUUCCCAAGCCAGGACUUUACUUCCUGCAGGGUUGGAAUGUCGUUUCCUAUGAGUAGUAUGUCAUCCACAUACAAUACCAAAAAGCUAACUAUACUCCCACUAGCCUUGACAUACACACAAGAUUCAUCUUCACUCCUAGAAAAGCCAAAUUCCUUGACCUUUUCAUCAAAGCAAAGAUUCCAUCUGCGAGGUGCUUGCUUCAAUCCAUAAAUGGAUUUCUCAAGCUUACACACUCUAUUAGGGUACUCGUUGCUGACAAAACCCUCUGGCUGACUCAUGUAAACAUCUUCAGCCAACUUUCCAUUAAGGAAAGCGGUUUUGACAUCCAUCUGCCAUAUUUCAUAGUCAUGAAAUGCAGCUAUGGCUAACAGAACCCGAAUAGACUUAAUCUUGGCUACCGGAGAAAAGGUCUCAUCAUAAUCCACUCCAGGAAUUUGAGAGAAGCCCUUUGCAACCAGUCUAGCCUUAUAAGUGUGUACUUUACCAUCCAUGUCGGUCUUCUUCUUGAAGACCCAUUUGCACCCUACUGUCUUACGACCUGGUACAUUUUCAACCAAGUUCCAAACUUGAUUGUCAUACAUGGAUUGUAUCUCGCUAUCCAUAGCCUCUUUCCAUUUAGCAGACUCGGGGCCUGCCAUGGCUUCCUCGUAGCUGUUAGGGUCAUCUUGACUUACUAGUGUCUCAUCACUAAUAAGUGUCUCACCUUCUGCAGUAAUAUGGAAUCCAUAGUAAUGCUCAGGUGCACUCCUAACUCUCGUGGAACGUCUCAGAGGUACAGAUUUGUCAAUUGGCUCAACAGGAGUUUCCUCCUCAAGUUGAGGGCUAGAGUUUGAAGUUCCUUCACCGCUUGAUUCUUGAAUUUCUUCAAGAUCAAUUUGCCUCCCACUGUCUCCUUGGCUUAUAAACUCUCUUUCUCGAAAGACUCCUCUUCUUGCUACAAAGACCACAUUGUCACUAGGUCUGUAGAAGAGGUAACCAAAGGAUCGCUGUGGGUAACCGAUGAAAAUACACCUCUCGCUUCGAGGUUCGAGCUUAUCAUGAGUCUCGCGUCUCACGAAAGCCUCGCAACCCCAAAUCUUGAUGUGGUCUAGUUUAGGUACUUUACCAGUCCACAUCUCGUGAGGAGUUUUGGCAACUUUCUUUGUAGGGACUAGAUUAAGAAUAUGGGCGGCAGUCUCUAAGGCAUACCCCCAGAAUGAGAUUGGUAGCGUAGCUCGACUCAUCAUGGAACGAACCAUAUCUAACAAGGUUCGAUUACGCCUCUCAGCCACACCAUUCAACUGUGGUGUCCUGGGAGGUGUCAAUUGUGAGACUAUCCCACAUUCCCUUAGAUAGUCGAGGAACUCUGAACUAAGAUACUCACCACCACGAUCGGAUCGAAGCAUCUUAAUGUUCCUGCCCAAUUGAUUCUCGACUUCCUGUUUAAAUUCCUUAAACCUCUCGAAAGUCUCUGACUUAUGCUUGAUCAAGUAGACAUAUCCAUAUCUACUAUAAUCAUCAGUAAAAGUCAAAUAAUAACGAUUAGCAUCCCUUGUGGCAUGUUUGAAUGGUCCACACACAUCCGUGUGUAUAAGGUCCAACAAACCUUCACCCCUCUCACACGAACCUGUGAAGGGUGACUUUGUCAUUUUUCCAAGUAAGCAUGAUUCGCAACUAUCAUCUGACUUUAGGUCAAACGACUCCAAGACUCCAUCCUUUUGGAGUUGGCCUAUGCGUUUCUUGCUUAUAUGUCCAAGACGACAAUGCCAUAAAGAUGCUUUAUCCAAGUUAUUAUUAGUAGAAUCAAUACACAAAACAUUAUUUCCCAAGUUAUCUACAACAGAUACAGCUUCAUACACACCAUCACAAGGUAAUGCUUUAAAAUAAAAGACAUUAUUAUAGAAAACAUCUAUAGAACCAACUUCAUUAUUAAAUGAAAAGGUAAACCCUUGUUUGUACAAAGCAUGAAAGGAAAUAAUAUUUCUUGCCAUUCCUGGCGAAUAACAACACUUAUUCAAAUCUAAACUAAACCCACUACUUAGCGAUAAAGUAUAAACUCCAAUCUUGGUAACAGGUAUAGCUUUCCUAUUCCCCAUGAUCAAGUUUAUCCUUCCUUGCUCCACAUCCUCACUUCUUCUUAGUCCCUGCAAGUCACAACAAAUGUGAAUACCACACCCGGUAUCAAGGACCCAAGAAUUAGAAUGGGGUGAGUUAUUAGAAAUGAUAGUGUAAAUACCUGCAUGGUUGGGUUUAACUUUCCCAUCCUUCACAUCUUGCUGGUAUUUUGGGCAGUUCCGCUUCCAAUGAGCUUUUUCAUGGCAAUAGAAGCAUUCAGCCUCUUUUGGGUCAGAAGAAGGAGUAAUGAAACCUUUCUUGGUUCCACUUGAAGAAGAGCCAUCAAGGGUCCGAACCUUGGUACCCUUAGAAGAGCUCUUUCUCUUCCUCCCUCGACUUUUCCCGAUUGCCAAAACCGGAGUAGAGUUUUGAGUAGGAGUGAUAGCAACCGACUUCCCCUUAAGACCUGAUUCUGCGGUCUUGAGAAGUCCCUGAAGUUUGCUGAGGGUGACUUCUUCCUUGUUCAUGUGAUAUGUCAUGCGGAAUUGAUCAUAGCACGAUGGUAAGGAAUGCAAAAUAAUAUCUAUUGCAAGAUCCUCCGGGAAGUUCACAUUAAGCUUCAGCAAACGAUCCACAUACCUUUGCAUUUUCUGCAUGUGGCUCGUGACGGAUUCCCCGUCCUUCAUCAUGGUUGUUAUCAUGGAGCAGAUGAUUUCAUACCUCUCUUGUCUUGCACUUUGAUGGUAUCUUUCCAUCAAAUCUUGGUGCAUUUCAUAAGGGUAGAAAUCCUCAUAAGACUUUUGGAGUUCCGCUGUCAUCGUGGCCAUCAUGAUGCAAGCCACUUUCGUAGCAUCCCUUUCAUGUGCCCGAAAUUCAGCGAUCUCCUGAGGAGUUGCAGUGGACUCAUCAAUCUCCUUAAGCUCCUUGUCAAGGACAUAUUCUUUGUCCUCGUAGCGGGUAAUCAUCCUGAUGUUUCUGAUCCACUCAUUGAAGUUGGAUCCAUCAAAGGUGACUUUCCCACACAAGUUCAUAAGGGUAAAGGAGCCAUUAGGAUUAGAGCCAGAAGCAUUGUUGAAAGACAUCUGAAGGAAAGAGGACAAGAUUAGUUUAGAUAUAAGAGAGUCCUUAAUAAAACACCCAAAUGUAAUAUUAAGGCUAGGAUCCAAUCACAAUAUAAUAUAACUUAGAAGAGGUAUGCCGUAAUCUAAGCUAUAUCAUAUUUGAAAGGUAGGUGAAUGACGAUUCACCAAUUUCCACCACGAAAACCGCAAUAUUUUAGUAUUAGGUUUUUGAAUGGUUCUUAGAAAUUCCUAGAUUCUUUGAGAUUCAAUGAACUUUUCAAAGGCAUGUUUCAAUCUCGAGUGUGCCCUCCAAGUUUUGUGACUGGGAUACCGAGGAUCACAAAACGAGGUGUGAAGUAACCAUGCAAAUCACUUGGUACCCUUAAAGUUUAUCACUCAAUCGAUGUGCCGGUUAACCACACACGCUCCAUCGAUACUAUAAUAAACCCUAAGUCACCCUUUACCUACCUUGUUAAGUCCAAGUUAGUGUGCCGGUUAACCACACACGCUCCACCAACGACUUAAUCAAAGUGUAAAGUGUAAUUUCAUGGAAUAGCACCUUAUUCACAUUUUUCCUAAAGUAACUAAGAUUGGGAAUUUAAUAAAACAUUUAGUUACUUUAUAAUAUUCAUCAUACUUUGAAUGAGAAUUAAUAAGUCCUUGUCUUACCCGUUCGGCUAACGACCCUCCACCGAUCAAGCAAGCGGUGGGUGAGAGUGGACACCCAUUAAGUCACCAUUUUAUAGGCAACAACCUUAUACCCACCUUAUAGACCGGCUUCGUGAAUGAGGCGUACUAGCGGUAAGACGACUUUGUUCUUAUACAUAUAUAUAUAAUUAUUAAAUCAUAAUAAUAUAAGUAUAAGGGUUGAAUUUUAACUUUUAAAAUUCUAGGGGUUGGAACUAAAGUUUUAACUUAACUUUACUUGUUCCAAAACUUGAGGGCAAGUUUUGUAAACUUUCAAAACUUUUCAUUUCUUGUAACUUAUGAGUUUAAUAGAGUAAUAAAAUGAGGACUUUUCAUUUUUCCUAACUCUUGUGUUCUUUUAAUGUUUUUUAAUCCAAGAGACUUUUGGUUUUCCAUAACUUGAGGACAAGUUAUGGACUCCAUUAAAACACAUUAUGAUCAUGAAUUAAUCUACCACAUAGGUUACAAAUAAUUCCUAUGAUCAUCUAAACAUCAUAAGAACAAGAAUAUGAAUAUGAACACUUUCAAGAAUCAAAAUCACAUUUAAUCUUUGUAAUUUUGAUAACUAGUUGUUGUAAAUGAGUUAGAAAAGACAUUACACCUUCUAAAAUAAGUUUUCAAGUACCAAAACAUUUUAGGGUAAUGAUUCUAAUCCAUUUCCAGCAACACAAGUCGAAAUUCUGCACUCUGUCGACCCUACUCGCCGAGUGCAUAAACCUACUCGCCGAGUAGGUUGAAGAUACACAUGAACUCGUCGAGUCCUCCCCAUGGACUCGCCGAGUCCAUCAGUCAGACAGCAAGAUUUUCGACUUUCUUCAACUUUUAAGCACAAAUAACAAACAAACAAGCCUAGGCUCUGAUACCACUGAUGGGUUUUGAGCAUUCUAACACUUCCUAAGUGUACAUGCAACCCUAAUAACCUUGGAUCUAUGUUUGUCUAAUUAUCAUGCAAAGUUGAAUUCCAAGGUUAUAUUCCUAUCUAGCAUACAUGGGGAACAAUUUUAACUUGAAUCAUAGAUAGAAUAACUUACCUUGUUGUUGCUUGUGUUCCUUGAAACCUUGUGAGCCUAGCACCCCAAGUGUGAUGCCUCAAAUGCUUCACACAACACCAAAUGCUCUUGGAAAGACUCUUGAGAUAACACACACUUCUCAAAAUCGGCCAAGCCCUCUAGUUUCUUAUGUCUAGCCGAUUUUGGUGGAGAAUGGGCUCCUUAUAUAGUGUUGACACAUCUAGGGUUACACCAUGUAAACCCUAAUGUGUCAUGACUCUUCAUUUCCAUGACCCAUGGGUUUGUAACUCCCAUGGAGCAUCCAUGGAGCAUCCUAUGGGUAGAACCCAACUUGAUAAUCCAUGGAGCCUCUUAGCCCACUAUACAAGAUAUGGAUGAACCCAUAUAUUUAAUUAGUUAACCUUUGAUCACUUAAUUAAUUCCAAAUUAAUUCUUGAUCAAACUAAUCAAAUAAUAUUAUUAAUAUAUUAGAACUUAUAAUAUAUUAAUAAUCUCCAAGUGUUAUUUCUCUCAUUUAGUCUAACCAAUUGCAUGGUGCCAUGCAACCCAAAUGGACCAUGCCGGGUCGGGUCAAGUACAAGCCCGAAAUAGUUAUGGACUUAGACACCUUAUCCAACACUGAGGUCUUCAAGAGUCCUUGAAGUUUGCUAAGUUUAACUUCCUCCUUGUUCAUGUGGUAUGUCAUACGAAAUUGAUCAUAACAUGAAGGUAGGGAGUGCAAAAUGAUUUCAAUUGCCCACUCCUCAGGGAAGUUCACCUUUAGCUUCAGCAAACGGUCCACAUACCUUUGCAUUUUCUGCAUGUGGUACGUGAUGGGUUCACCAUCCUUCAUUCGGGUUGUUAUCAUGGAGGAGAUGAUUUCAUAUCGCUCUUGACAAGCACUCCGAUGGUAGCGGUCCAUCAAAUCCUGGUGCAUCUCAAAAGUAUAGUAGUCCUCAUAGGACUUUUGGAGCUCGGCUGUCAUUGUGGUCAACAUGAUACAUGCCACUUUGGUAGCAUCUUUCUCAUGUGCUUGGUAUUUAGCAAUCUCCUCAGGAGUAGUAGACGACUCAAGUUCCUUGAGCUCCUUGUCGAGGACAUAUUCCUUGUCCUCAUAUCAAGUGACCAUCCUGAUGUUCCUGAUCCAAUCCAUAAAGUUGAAUCCAUCAAAGAUGACUCUUCCACAAAGGUUCAUGAGAGAGAAGGAUCCGAUAGGGUUUGAGCCAAAAGCAACAUUGUUGGAAGACAUCUAAAAAGAAGAAAUACAAAAUUAGAUUAGAUAUAAAGAUAGUCCUUAAUAAGACACCUAAAUGUAAUAUUAUGGCUAGGACCCAAAACAAUAUUUUAUAACUUAGAAGAGGGAUGCCGUAAUCCAAGCUAUAAAAUAUUUGAAGGUAGGUGAAUGACGAUUCACCAAUUUCCACCAUGAAAAUGAAAUAAAUUAUUAGGUUUUAAUUUGUUUUGAAACUCCUAGAUUCUUUGAGAUUCAUUGAACUUUUCAAUGACAUGUUUCUAUCUCGAGUGUGCCCUUCAUGUUUUAUGACUGGGAUGUCGAGGAUCACUAAACAAGGUGUGAAGUAACCAUGCAAAUUACUUGGUACCCUUAAUGUUUAUCACUCAAUCGAUGUGCAGGUUAACCACACGCGCUCCACCGACCUAUGAUAAACCUUAAGCCACCCUUUUCCUACCUUGUUAAGUCCAAGUUAGUGUGCCGGUUAAGCACACACGCUCCACUAACGACUUAAUCAAAGUGCAAAGUUUAAUUUCAUGGGUUAGCACCUUAUUCACAUUUUCCUAAAGUAACUAAGAUUGGGAAUUUAUAAAAACAUUUAGUUACUUUAUAUUCAUCAUACUUUUAAUGAGAAUUUAAAGUCCUUGUCUUACCCGUUCGGCUAACGACCCUCCACCGAUCAAGGAAGCGGUGGGUGAGAGUGGACACCCAUUAAGCUGCCAUUUUAUAGGCAGCAACCUUAUACCCCCUUAUGGACCGGCUUCGCAAAUGAGGCAUACUAACGGUAAAACAACUUGUUCUUAUACAUAUAUAAUUAUUAUUAAACUUAUAAUAUUAUAAAGUAUAAGGGUUAAAUUUUAAGUUUUAAAAUUCUAGGGGUUGGAACUAAAGUUUUUAAAGUGACUUUACAUGUUCCAAAACUUGAGGGCAAGUUUUGUAACUUUCAAAACUUAUGAGUUAAUGGUUUAUUAAAAUGAGAGACUUUUCAUUUUAUGUAACCUAUGUGUUUCAUAAUGGACUUUAAAAGAAUGACUUUUGGUAAUCCAUAACUUGAGGAAAAAUUAUGGAUUCCAUUAUAACACAUAAUGAUCAAGAAUUAAACUAACAAGCAAGUUACAAAUAAUUCCUAUGAUCUUUUAAACUCAUAAGUUCAUGAACAUGCAUAUCAACAGUUCCAAGAAUCAUAAAUAAACCAUAUAAAACUUGAAAUUUUGAUAAUAGCCAUUGAAAAUGGAUUAGCAUAACCAUUACAAAAUCUAAAACAAGUUUUAUCAGACCAAAAUAGUUUAGGGUAAUGUUUCUAGUCCAUUUCUAGCAGCAAAACUCGAAAAUAUGCAUUUUGGGGCUCCUACUCGUUGAGCGCAAGAACCUACUCGACGAGUAGGAUGAAUUAACUUAUGGACUCUUCGAGUCCCCCCAUGGACUCGACGAGUUCAUGCUGCAAAAUGCAGAAAACUGAGAACAAGAUUGCAUCAAGUAUCAAAUAAACAAGCCAAGGCUCUGAUACCACUGAAGGGUUUUGAGCAUUCUAACACUCCUAAGGUGUACAUGCAACCCUAGAAACCUUGGAUCUAUGUUUUACUAUGAUACAUGCAAAAUUGUUUUUCCAAGGUUCCUAACCUAUCUAGCAUAGAAUGGGGAACUUUUAAACAUAAAUGCUAGAAGAAGAACAUACCUUUUGUUGUUUGGAUUCCUUGAGAACCUUGUGAGCCUAGCACCUCAAGUGUGAUGCCUCAAAUGUCUCACACAACACCACAACACUUGGAAUAACCUUGAGAGAAGUUCACUAACACCUCAAAGUCGGCUAGCCCUUUUUCUUGCUUGUACAAGUCCGAUUUUGCUAGUCUAGGGGUCUUUAUAUAGUUGUGACACAAGUAGGGUUACACCAUGUAAACCCUAAUUAUCAUGGCUUUGCACAUUCCAUGAUCCAUGGGUUUGUAACCUCCAUGAACUAUCCAUGGAGCACCUUAUGGGUUUUAACCUAAUCAAUACAAACAAUGGAUCAUUAGUCCACUAUACAAGAAUAGAUGAUUUACACAAUCAACCCCAUAUAUAUAAUUAGUCUCUUUUUGAUCACUUAAUUAAUUUCAGAUUAAUUCUUUGAUCAAUACUAAUUAAAUAAUAUUAUUAAUAUAUUAGAACUUUUAAUAUAUUAAUAAACCUUAAGUGUCCUUUCUCUCAUUUAGUCUAUCCAAAUGUUGCAAUGCCAUGCAACCCAAAUGGACCAUGCUAAUCGGGUCAAGUACAAUCCAGAAAUAGUUAUGAACUUAGACACCUAGUCUAACUAUUGUCAAUGGGUGUCUCGUAAAUUAUCAUUGAAUUAAUGGAGCGCGUGUGGUUAACCGACACGUCAAUUUCAGAUGAUAAAUGACAUCAAGAGCACCAAACGAAUUUGCAUGGUUAUUCACUUCUCCUUUGUGAUCCUCGGCAUCCCAGUCACAAAGUGGGAGCUUAGUUGAGAUUAAACUUGCCAUUGAAUAGUUCAAUAAAUCUCAAAAGAUCUAGGAGUUUCACAAGAUUGAAAUUGGUAAAUGCUUCACCUAGCUAAAGUAGAUACGAAUUUGAUUACGACAUCCCUCUUCAGAAUUCCAAUCGAAAAUAUGGAUCCUAGCCUUAAUUUGUAUUUUGGGUUAAUAACUAAGGAUUAAAACCAACUAAAUUAAAUUCUUGUCUCCCUUUAUAGAUGUCAAGUUCAGACAACAAUGGUUUUUCUCAUCCUUUUGAAUAUGAUCUUCCACAGGCGAAAGAAUGUUCCCUUCUUCAAAUGGUGGAACUAGAAAUCAUGCUUCUCCAACUUUUCCUCCACCUCCUCUAGUGAUUCUCCCCGACCCACGAUCACUUCAACUUGCACAGCUCAAAGUCACUUAAGCCCUAUUGGUAUGUAAACAUCAAAAUGGAAAAUUUGUUUGUGUGCAUGUCCUGAAAAUGAAAUUGCACAUUGACACAUUGGGGAUGUUCUGUGUUGUUUUCCCAAGGGAGCUGACCAUUGAUUCGGUUAUAGUUCUUCAUCCUAACUCAUAUAGUCAAUUCAUAAAAGACUUCUAUGAGAGAGACAAGUAUGUGACCCUAAUAAAUCUAACAUAUAUGCUAAUUGGUGCUGAAGCUGGAAUGCUUAUGAGCACAAGUCAUUCCAAUAUGGUUGAAAGAUCUAUUUCCUUAAUUCCCAUAGGCAUUAACAGUGGAAACAUUGGUAGUCCAGAAAAGGUUUCUCUUCCCAAUGGAAAGGGAUCGACCAAGGUCAAAAUUUUUGACCAUAUGGUAAAGGGAAAGGCUAAUUCUUUGAUAGUCCCAUGUGCCAUUCAUGAAAAUCCAUAUGUUUAUUGCCAAUUGAAGGCACAUUGGAUGGGAAGCUGCGUUGUCUACCCGAAAGAUCGCAGAGAUAGUAAAGUCAAGUUGUGUGACUCUACUUCAGGUACAUCCACUAUCUAACUCUAUUUUAUUAAGUUCCUAUUCAUAGAGUCUUAUUACAUGAUGUGAUAGUCACAUUUUGAUGUUUUGUAGGAUCUAAGAGAAAGAAGGAAGCUUAAUAAGAAGUGAGUUGAAUCUGAUCGUAAGAGAUGGAUUUCGGUCGCAUGGUUCGAUGAUCAGAUUUUGGAAGCUAUUGCUUAGGAGUUAUGAUAGGAUCAAUAGAUUGCUUGGGAAAUAUAUUGAAACAUAGUUUUCAUAUAUUUGCAUUAUAAGGAAAAAAUUUUCCACAUAUUAUAAAUAAAAUGAAUUUUUAUUUAUUUAUAUUUCCUUGCAAUGGCAUUUAUGAAAAUUGGUGGUUAUAUUUCUAUUGUCAGUAAUGUUAAAUGUGGAUUGAUUCUUAAUUAUAUCGUUUGUGGUAAUGUCAUAAUCAAACAAGUGAAAAGAAAUUCUCAUCACCCAAGUUUCAGUUGGAUAGAAAGUUAGAGUCAUGCAAUUCGAAUUGUGUUAUGUAUGAGAAUUUUGAUUGUUGGGAGACUAUGACUAACUCAUUGAUCACAUGUUUACAUGAAUCAAAGUGAAGGACUAAUGGAUCUAGUAUACAUUAAUGUUGAAUAUUUAGAUCCACCGCAAAGGACGAUAAGUCUAUUCAUCAUGAUUUACUGAUGGUUCAAUAAAUAUGGUUAUACUUAUGAGAUUAAGUGUAAUUCUGAUUCUUUGAAAAUUUUCAAAGAGUGGCAGAACGAAUAUGAAGAAUCUAUUAGGCCGAAAGAUAAAUGUUUUUCAAAUCUAAAAGGAAAGGAGAGUACUUUAGUAUCAUGUUUUGUGAUCAUCUUAAUGAUUAUGGAACAAUGUCAUUAUUGAUCCUCUAAGGAUAUCUUAGUGCAUUUGUAUGCUUAAGAAGAGGAAUCAUAUAUUGUUGAAAUGGUUUAAUCGAGAGAUGAGUCAUAUUUCGUUUCCAAUCAAGUUUUAGAGUCAUACUCUAGUAACUACAAAUAAUAUCUAGAAGCUUAUUUCAAACUAAGUAGGGUUAUAACACCUCAUGAAAUGUGGAGUAGAAAUUUUUUCUUACUCUAGCACAUUUGGAAUUGGUAGUUGUGUUGUUUUGGUUGAAACAAAGGAAAAAUUAAGACCAAUUACAUGAAGUGUUUUCUUGUCGAGAAUCCACAUUAACUUUUGAAUAUUUGUUUUUGCUUGUCAAGGAUUGUUCCUUGAGAAAAAAAUUUAUAUGUCAAGAAGCCAGUGGGAGUCUUAUUGGUCUUGAAGAGUUUCAAGAGUCAAUCAAGAAUAAACCUUUUAGUUAUCACUAGCACACGACCUGAGGUUGGUAACCUAUCAUGUUCAGUAGACACAUUCUUGUUUCUAUGCGCCUUCCAGUUGAGUUGGAAAUGCAUGUGAGUUAUGUGGUUCUCAUUUUACUGCAAAGGGCAGAGCACGCUGGUCAGUGAUAAUACAUUAGUCAAUGGAAGUGAGCUGCUUAAAAAACAUGGAAGACAUGGUAGGCCCUUGUGCUACCAGAUGGAAAGAAAUUAAGAAUAACCAAAGUUCAGUCCAUGAACGGAAAAACAAAAUUUGAUUUUGGUUUGUCCUCAACCUUAUCUUAUGAUUGUAGGUUGUAAUUGAUAAAUUCACAUGGAUAGGAACACAUACACCAUAAAAUCUAGGUGGCAAAAGUUUUCACUCUAAUUCAUGUAAAUGAUUAUGAGGAAACACUUUCUCUAGUAGAUUUUAAAUCUGAUUGAUAUCAUGGUUAGUAGUGGUGAUAAUUGCAUUAUCAAAUUCAUAUAUGAUUAUAACAUCCCUUUUCAUAGUUUGAAUUGUGAUAAAUGGAAAGUAAUGUUUUAAAUGUUCAAGACUUAUUGUUGUAUGUUUUGAAUCGGUUUAAACACACACACAUAUGCAAUCUAAUGAAGGUGUAUGAGCUUGAGAAGUCUACAUAAAGACAUAUCAAAGCACCACCUAUCAGAAAUCUAAACUUUAGAAUGAAAGUCAAUUGUAUUAAUUUCUAGAUACAUGUCAAAGCUAGUGGGAACAUAAUUUUUAUGCAGAUAGGAGCAUAACUGUUAUGCUAGUGGGAGCAUAAUUGUUAUGCUAAGUGUUGCAGGUUAGCAAUACUAUUUGUAGGAAACAAAGGUUACAAAUUUGCAAGUUGCAAAGUUUGAAAAAUUGUUUCGCUAUAGAAAGGUAUUUGGGAGAGAGCACUUAUACAUCACUUCAAAUCUAAAAGUUUAGAUUAAAGGAUUUUAAUGGAACUUAGUCAUGAACAUAUAUGAAUAUCGUGUAGAAGUGAUUCAACAUAGGAAAAUUUGAUAUAUGGAAAUAUUAUAACAAGAGGCUGAUCAAGUAUCGUGUCUUUAUGUAAGAUAUUAUGUGUUGAAUGCCAUAUGCUUCAUAUAUAGAAUUGAUUACAUAUGCUAUAAUAUUCGCUUGGUCUGAUUUUUCAAAUGCCUAGGGAAUUGAGAGAGAAAAAGGACUAGAACAAGAUAUGACUAAAGUUGUUAAACAAUUGUCAAGAACAAUAUGAGGUUCGCUAAAGAUUGAUUGCUUUUGGACAGUUGGAAGUAUAUUAAUAUUUGGACAAACCAUAUUGACAUGUUUCUAAUUAGGAUACUUAUUGAUCAGAAUUGAUAGUCAUAUGAGAAUAUGGAAAUGUUUCCAUAAUGGGAGUUAGUUAUUGAAAUCUACAUACAAGUUAGAAACCUUAAUGUAAGGAGGGUGUUCAAGGAGUUACCUUGAAUAUGAUACUGUUGGGUUUUGAGCAUUCUAACACUCCUAAGUGUACAUGCAACCCUAAAUACCUUAGAUCUAUGUUUUCUCUAAUAUACAUGCAAAUAUGAACUUUCCAAGGUAUUCAUCCUAACUAGCAUAAUAACAUUGAUUCAUAUGAAUAUAUCAAGUUAUAAUUACAUACCUCUUUGAUGUAGAAUGUCUUCAUGAAGCUUGAGUGCCUAGUGCCCCAAAUGUGACACCUUAAAUGGUUCACACAACACUAAAUGCACAUGGAAAUGACUUGAGAGAAAUGUAACACUCCUUGAAAUCGUCUAGCCCUCAUAUUCACACACUAGUGUCCAAUUUCUUGAGCCAUGGGAUUCUUUUAUAUGGUGGCUAUUAGGGUUACACCAUGUAACUCAUAACUUUACCCAUUCCUUAUGCUCCAUGGAGUUUAACCUCCAUGGAGUAUCCAUGGGUCACCCUAUGGACUUAGUCCAACAUAAGAAAUCUUGGAUCACAAGCCCACAUAUAUAAGAAUGAAUGAUUUACACAAUCAACCCAUAUAUUUAAUUAGUCUCAUUUUGAUCGCUUAAUUAAUUCCAAAUUAAUUCUUGAUCAAUAAUAAUUAAAUAUCCUUAUUAAUAUAUUAGAACUUAUAAUAUAUUAACCAACCUUAAGUGUUAUUUCACUCAUUAUAGUCUUAUCCAAAUGCAUGAUGCCAUGCAACCCAAAUGGACCAUGCCGGGUCGGGUCAAGUCUUACCAAUUACAGUUAUGGACUAAAACAUUAAUCCAAUAGUCUCCCACUUGGAUAAGUCUAAAACUAUUAUUGCGUAUGACUUCAAAAACCGACUGGCAAUCAUAGCUCUCAAAACCUUCUGUCAAAAUCUAACCAUGCCGAUGAUCUCUGACCUUUGUCAAUCAUUUGUCUAUUAGAUAAGUGAUCAUAUAUUCCUUCAUUCUAGAUAUCAUAUGGACUGAGACAUGGAUUAUAAUCAUUCUCUCUGUCCAUCUGUUGUUUCCCGAUUUCCGAUUCAUGAUGACUGACUAAUUGAACAAAUCAAAUCAGUCCUGGCUUGGCCAAGCACUCACAUGUAUCAUCAUUAAAUCAUUGAAGGGCCCACAAAUAUUGCUUUCAUCCCGAAGGUAAAAGGAAUGGAUAAACUUUAACUCAUAUGGCUUGUUCUACUACUUGUUGAAUCAUACACAAAGGCACGUUUUAUAGCACCGAGUUAACCAAUGCGUUUUCGUGCAAUCAAUGUACAACCAACUCAUAGUAACAACUCAUAUAUCUAGGUUUGAAGAAUAUAAGAUAUUAUCGUCUCAUGAUCACUCGUGAUAAAAUCCAUGAAGUGAUUCCAAUGAGCGCGGGUUGAAUCCAAUACUCAGAACUUAUGAGCACUCAUGAGUGUUGUAGCACCACAUUGUCCAACAUUUUGGACCUCUACAAGCCCAACCCAUGACAGUCUUGAUUCAUAUCUACUUCCGACAUUUGACCGACUGUGGAUGAUUUGAAUAACCUAGUCAUUCAGGAAGAACGACCUAGUUAUUCUGGAAGUCAAAACAUGCAAAAUGAAACACAAGAAUAAUUGAAUCCAAUAUGGUCUCAGAACUUAUGAAUAUGAAUAAAACACCUUUUAUUUAUCACCAUAUGAUUACACAUUAUUCAUUGCAUACUGUUUCAGCUAUCAACUUUAUUCUUGAAUUAAAACAAUAGUUGUCCCAUGCUCCAAGCAUGUACACUAUGUUUUUCUAAACAUUAGUUAUGCCAUACUCCAAGUAUGCAUACCAAGUUUGUCUAUGAUCUUUACCUUGUGAAAUAGAUCGAUUGAAUAUAACUCCAAUGAUUCUCAUUUCAUAGUCCCAAGUCCUUGCGGCAAUGCAAGAAUUCCAAACUCAUUCCUUUUACCGAAAUCUAUUCGAUUCUAAACUUAUAUGCAUUGGUCCUCUUGUAACGAUUAUGCACAAAGUCACAAAGACUUGUCAACAAACAUUACAGAGUAUUCCAAUGGAGAUCAACUCCGUGGAACCAAAGUCUCAUAUUCAAAGUUCAUUGCCUUUGAACAAUCUUCUUGCAUUAAGUUUCCUAAUCUUACACAGAUAACUUCCACCUUCCCAUAUUCCCAUUUUGACUAUCACUUCUUAACAGGAGUUGCAUCUCUUUCAGAAUAUGUCAAUAUGGUCCUUCCAAAAUUAACACCAUACUUCCAACUAUACCUGAGCAACCAAUCUUUGGUAAAGCUUAGAUUGUCCUCGACAAUUGCUUAAUCCUUUUAGUCAUAUCCAGUUCUAGACCUUUUCGGCUUUUCCCUUCUUAAUGCCCCAUGCAUUUGGAAAAUUUUAGAAAGGAUGAAUAUAGCACAUGUAAUCGAUCCUAUAUCCGAAGCAUAUGGGACAUGAUUCAUGAUGUCUCACAUAAAGACUAAACCAGUCUUUUGCUAUAAUAUUUCCAUUUCAAUUUGCCAAGUUCUCAUAAUUCAGAUUAUGAAAAGGGAUGCCGUAAUCAUAAUCGAAUUUUAGAAUGCAAAUAAUGGACCCAUAUAUAGAAUUUUCUUAUGUUGAGGCAUUCCAACAUAUCAUUCAUAUAUAUACUUGACUAAAUUCGAUUAAAACCUCAAUCUAAGCUUUUAGAUUUGAGAUGAAGUAUAAUUUCCUCUCCCUUAAUUAUAGGAAAACAACUUUUCAACCCCUGCAACUCCACGAAUUGAAACUUUUGUUUUCUAUAAUUAACAUUGCUAACUUGCAACCUUUAUCAUAAUUAUCAUGCUCCCACUAACAUGAUGAUUAUUAGCAAUACAGUCAUGCUUCCACUAGCUUUGAUAUGUACUCAGAAAUCAGCUGAACUUCUAGAAAUCAAUACUUUAUUGACUUUCUUACCAAAGUUCAGAUUUCUAAGACGAGAUUGCCUUGAUUAGAACUUUAUCAAAAUUGAUACACCUUUCCUUAGAUGGCAUACAAGUGUGUCUAAACAAUUUUAGGACUAUGAAAAGGGAUGCCGUAAUCAUAGUCUCAAUUGUUUACAUCUUUGCUAUUUGCUUCAAAUCUACUUAGUGGAAGUGUUUCCUCACCAUCAUUUUCAUGAAUCGGAGAGAAACCUUAUGACCCUUAGAUUUUAUGGUGUAUGUGUUCUUAUCCAUGUGAAUUGUCAAAACCAUAGUCACAAGACAAGGAUAAUGACAAAUCCAAACUCAUAUGGACUGAACUCAAUCUUAAUUUCUUGCCACCUGGCAGCUCAAGGGCCUGCCAUUGCUUCCAAGUUGUUAUGCAACCAAUUGAGAACUCUAAGAACUCAUAUGCAAAGCCAACUUUAACUGGAAUGGGCACAGAAUAUGUCAACACGAUAGGUUAUAAACCUUAAGUCGUGUGCUAGUGAAGAACUUCAGGUUUUAUUCUUGAUUAGUUCUUGAGACUUUCAAGACCUUUAAGACUCCCACUGUCCUCUUGACAUAUAAGACUCCCUUGUCAAACAUCCAAGAGAUAGUGCGGAUUCUAAUCAAGACAAACACUUUACACAAUUGGCCUAAGUUGGUCUUUGUUUUAUCCAAAACAUCACAACUUACCAAUUUCAAAUGUACAAGAGUAGAAAACUUUUACUCUUACAUUUGACAAGUGUUUUAAACCUUCUUUAAGACAUGUCACUCAAAUGACAAUCUUGGAGUAUGACUCUAAGACUUGUAUUGGAACGAAGUAUGACUCAUCUUCUUGAUUUAACCAUUUCAACAAUUCAAGUUCCUCUUCUUAGUCAUAAGAAUGCACUAAGAUUUCCUUAGAGAACUAAUUUUGAUAUGGUUUCUUAAUCAUUAAGAUGAUCACAAAACUGAUACUAAAGUACUCUCCCAUCUUUUCAGAUUUGAGAAACUUUUAUCCUUCUGCCUAAUUUGUUUCUUCUUAUUCGCUCUGCCAUACAUUGGAACCUUUUCCAAUGCUUCAAAAUUAUACUUAAGCCUGUAAGUAUAACCAGUUUUACUAAACUUUAGUAAAUCAUGACGAAUAGUCUUACCGUUCUUUUGUGGUGGACUUCACCAGUGCACAAGAAUGUUUACUUGAUCCUUUAGUCCUUUACUUGACUCACCUAAACAUGUGAAUAAGGAAUUAGUCUUAAUUUUCCAAAGAUGAAAAUUCUCAUUCAUCGUACAGCUUACAUGAUUCCAAGUUUCUAUGAAACUUGGGUGAUGAGAAUCUUUCCUUAUUUGGUAAGUUUAGACACUACCACAAAUGAAAGAAUCAAAUUCAUAUUUCCAAUAUUGCUAUCAAUGGAAUCAUAUAAACAACAAAGUUUUUUUUUCACAAAUGCCACUGUAAGGAUAUUUUAAAAUAAAUAAAAUCAAAAUUUUUCCUUUUAUUUUAAAAACUUUGCGGAAAAACUAUCCUUAUAGUGAAAAGCACAUGAAAACUUUGUUGUUAUCUAUUCCUAAGCAAUAUAUCAUAACUCCUAAGAAGUAGCUCAAGAAUCCGAUCUUCAAACUAUGCAAUAGAAAUCCAUCUAUGCGAUUAGAUUCAACAUAUUCUUUCUUUAAGUUUCUUCACUUUCCUUUGAUUCUUAAAACAUCAACAUGUGACCCAGUCACAUCAUGUAUCAAGAAUCUCAGAAUAGAAACUUAGCAGAGUUAGAUAGUGGUAUUUACCUGAAGUAGAGUCAAACUUAUUGACUUUAACAUCCUUACGUAAAAAUUUGGCAGCUUCGCAAUCAGUGCCCCUUCCUUUGGCAAUUUAACAUAUGGACCCUUUGGUAAUGGUACAUGGGACUAUCACAGACUUAGUUUUUCUCUUUACCAUUUGGUCAACCUAGUUUACUAUGGUCAAUCCCUUUCCUUGGGAAGAGAAGGUUGUUCUAGAUAUCCAAUGUUACCAUUGUCAAUGUCCAUGGUAGUUUGGGAAGUUGAUCUACUAAUCAAAUUUUCUCUCCUAGUGCUACUGAUUCAGCAGCACCAAGCAAAUAGAUAAGAUCCUUAAGGGUAAUGUCAUAGUCUGUUUGAUAGGAGUCCUAAAGGAACUUACUAUGUGACUUAGAAAGUGAUUGGACAUCCAAACUUCUCAAGACUUUGACACCCAACUCUCCCGGCUUGUCAGUGUGUGACUUCAUCUCCAAGAUGUGAGCACACCUAGACCUUGCCUUGCCAAUAGGGCUUGAGUGACCUUGAACUUGUGGGAUAGGGAGAAUAAUUGGAGGAGGUGGAGGAGGUGAAGUUCCAAGAGAUUUGGGAGGNUGUCUAAACCAGACAUCUUUUGGGAGAUAUUCAAGAUAGUUGAUUUUAAAGUCCUUAAUAUGACACCCAAUAUGAAAUAUUAAGGCUAGGACCCAACAAACUAUUUUAUAACUCGGAAGAGGGAUGUCGUAAUCCAAGCUAUAAAAUAUUUGAAGGUAGGUGAAUGACGAUUCACCAAUUUCCACCAAGAUAAACGAAAUGUAUUAUUAGGUUUUAAUUGUUUUUUUGAAACUCCUAGAUUCCUUUGAGAUUCAUUGAACUGCUCAAUGGCAUGUUUCAAUCUCAAAAGUGCCCUUCAGGUUUUGUGACUGGGAUGCCGAGGAUCAAAAAACAAGGUGUGAAGUAACCAUGCAAAUAUACUUGGUAUCCUUAAUAUUUACCCCUUAAACGAUGUCCCGGAUAACCACACAUGCUCCACCGAUACUAUGAUAAAUAUUAAGUUACCCUUUGCCUACCCUGUUAAGUCCAUGUUAGUGUGCCGGUUAACCACACACGCUCCAUCAACGACUUAAACAAAGUGCAAAGUGUAAUUUCAUGGAUUAGCACCUUAUUCACAUUUUCCUAAGUAACUAAGAUUGGGUAUUAUUAAGAGUUUAGUUACUUAGUAUUAUCAUUAAUACUUUUAAUGAAGGGAGAAUUCUAGUCCUGUCAAACCCGUUCGGCUAACGACCCUCCACCAGUCAAGCAAGCGGUGGGUGAGAGUGGACACCCAUUAAGUUGCCAUUUUAUAGGCAACAACCUUAUACCCACCUUAUAGACCGGCUUCGUGAAUGAGGCGUACUAGCGGUAAGACUGACUUUACUCUUAUACUUAUAUAUAUAUAUAUUAUUAACUUAUAAUAUUAUAAAGUAUAAGGGUUAAAUUUUAACUUUUAAAAUUCUAAGGGCUAACUUGGAAUUAAAGUAUUCAUAAGUGAAAACUUUUAAAAUUCCAAAACUUGAGGGCAAGUUUUGAAACUAUUCAAAACUUAUUAAUUCCAUAACUUAUGUGUUUAAAAUAGUUUUAAUCCAAAAACUCUUCAAGUUCUAUAACUUGAGGACAAGUUAUGGAAGACUUUAAACUAUUAAAAGAAUGUGACUUUCCUUUAUUCAUAACCUAUGGAAAUUACUUAUGAGUUUUAUGAAUCUUAAAUGUGACUUUUCAUAUAACUUGAGAGCAUGUUACAAAAACACAUUUUAGAGUCAACUCUUAGAUUAAAAUUGAUUGAAAACCCAUAAUCAAUUAACUUUUCUAUUAAUCUAAGCAACUCAUAUGAACAAAGAUAAUUCACAUCAAACUUUUUCAUGUAAUUAUCAUAACUCUUAAACUAAUACAAAACAUGAAUCUAUUGACAUUUAUCUUUGAAAUUGGAUUAGCAUGAACAUUACCACAUAAAAAAAAGGUUUAUAAGUUCAAAAACAGCUUAUGGUAAUGUUCCUAGUCCAAUUCCAGCAAAAAAACACGAAGAUAUGCUGUCUGGAGGCCAAAAUCGUCGAGUUCUUCAUGGAACUCGUCGAUUUCAUGCUCUAAAACAUGAACUCGUCGAGUUUUCUACUAGAACUCGUCGAGUUUUAGGCCCUGAUAGAUUCUUGGCUUCGAAAAAGCUAUUUGCAUCAAGUAUAAGAGAAAGCAAGCCUAGGUUCUGAUAUCAUUGUUGGGUUUUGAGCAUUCUAACACUCCUAAGUGUACAUGCAACCCUAAAUACCUUAGAUCUAUGUUUUCUCUAUUACACAUGCAAAUAUGAACUUUCCAAGGUAUUUAUCCUAACUAGCAUAAUAACAUUGAUUCAUAUGAAUAUAUCAAGUUAUAAUUACAUACCUCUUUGAUGUAGAAUGUCUUCAUGAAGCUUGAGUGCCUAGUGCCCCAAGUGUGACACCUCAAAUGGUUUACACAACACCAAAUGCACAUGGAAAUGUCUUGAGAGAAAUGUACCACUCCUUGAAAUCGUCUAGCCCUCAUAUUCACACACUAGUGUCCGAUUUCUUGAGCCAUGGGAUUCUUUUAUAUGGUGGCUAUUAGGGUUAGACCAUGUAACUCAUAACUUUACCCAUUCCUUAUGCUCCAUGGAUUUUAACCUCCAUGGAGUAUCCAUGUAUAAGGUCACCCCAUGCACUUAGUCCAACAUAAGGAAUCUUUGAUCACAAGCCCACAUAUAUAAGAACGAAUGAUUUACACAAUCAACCCAUAUAUUUAAUUAGUCUCCUUUUGAUCACUUAAUUAAUUCCAAGUUAAUUCUUGAUUAAUACUAAUUAAAAAACCUUAUUAAUAUAUUAGAACUUAUAAUAUAUUAACCAACCUUAAGUGUUAUUUCACUCAUUAUAGUCUUAUCCAAAUGCAUGAUGCCAUGCAACGCAAAUGGACCAUGCCGGGUCGGGUUAAGUCUUACUAAUUACAGUUAUGGACUUAGACAUUAAUCCAACAGGUACUUCAUUACCAUGAUUUUUUUUAAGUAAAAAGUUUCAUUGGAGCAUUUUGUAACAUCGUUGGCCAAGUCUCAGUGACUGUGAUGCCACGUUAUCACAAAAGGAUAUUGCAUGCAAGGUUAGACUCUAACACAUUUAGUGAUGAAAAGAAAUUGGAAUUCUUACAAUUAUAACAAGCAUUUGGAAUUAUGAAAUGAGCAUCAUUGAAAUUAUGUCCAAUCGAUCUGUUCACAAAGGAAGUACCUUAGAGAAACGUAGUAUGCAUGUUUAGAACAUGACAUGGCUAAUGUUUAAAUCAAGUAUUUAGUUGAUUAAUUGAAACAAUGUACAAUUAAUAAAGUCUAAUUACUAUGGUGAUUAAAUAAUAAGUGUUUUAUUUAUAUUCAAUAGUUUUUAGACCAUGGUUAAUUAGGUUAUUAUUGUGUUUCACUUCACAUGUUUUACUUCCCGAAUAAUUCGAUUAUUCAAACAUCCAUAGUCGAUCAUACUUUUGGAAGUAAGUAGUGAACUGAUAUUGUCACGAAUCAGACUAUAGAUUGUCUAAGGCGUUAGACAUAUCAAUGGUUUGCUGCAGUAUUCAUGAGUACUUUUGAAAUGGGGAUUUAAGCAUUGGAUUAACCAACGCUCAAAGAAUUACUUCAUGGAUUUUAUCACGAGUAAUUUUGAGAUGAUAAUAUCAUAUGUUCUUGAAACCCAGAUAUAUGAGUUGUUGUUUAUGAGUCAGUUGUGCAUUGAUAAUACGUAAACACAUCAGUAACUUGAUGUUAUAAAACAUAUUGUUGUGCGUGAUUUGAUGAUUGAAUAGUGAAAUCAUAUAAGUCGAAGUUUAUCCGUUCCUUUUUGCCCUAACGGGAAAAACGAUAUCUGUGGUCCCCUCAAUGAUUUGGUGAUGACAUCUAAAGCACUUCGCCAAGUCUGGACUAAAUUGAUGUGUUCAAUUAGUAGUCUAAUAUCAGUUGUCAUGAAUCAAAAAUCAGGAAACAAAUAUUAGACAGAGAGAAUGAUUAUAAUACAUGUCUCAUGUCCAUACGAUAUCUUGUAGAAUGGAGGAAUUUUUUAUCACUUAUCUUAGGACACAUAUCUGAGUAGGUCAAUGUUUGACAACGACUUUAAGAGAUACAAAUGCUUGUCAAUUUUUGAAGCCGUACUUGCAACUAUAGUUAUUAGACUUAUCCAAGUGGGAGACAGUUGGAUUAGGUGUCUAAGCCCAUAACUAUAAUUGGUAUGUACGUGAAUUGAUAGUGGUAUGGUGCUUUUGGGUUGCCUUCACACUAGCAACUCGACAGGAUGAUUAAUUGAGGAAGAGGAAGAAUUUAUUAUUUGGAAUAAUAAAUUGAUAUAAAUGAUUUAUUAAUAUGGUAUCAAAAUAAUAUAUUAAUUAGAAAUCAUAUUAUAAAUUAAUAUUUAAUUUGAAAUUAAUUUGGAAUUAAUUUUGGGAUUAAAGGAAUUAAUUAAAAGUGUAUGGGUUGUUUUGCAAUUUAUUGAUAGUUGUGGAAUUCGGCUCUUGGACCAUCCUAGGAGGCAUGAUUGAAAUUCUCUAGGGAAGGCCCUAGAAAUUUUGUUCAUGGCCUUAAGGAUGAGGAUCCAUGAGCUGCUUAGGCCUUAAACAAAGGGAUUAAGUUUUCCUUAUCUUAACCCUAGCUUUGGCUUUAAGCAACCAACAACUAUAUAAAGGGCAUAACCCCUUGUGGAUUUCGGCUAGGUCAAGGUUCCUACACCCUAGAAAACCGAAAAUUAUCUCCUCUCUCAUCCUCUCAUAAUCUUCCUCUUACUAAGUGUGUUUGUGAGCCAUUAGAGGUGUGAUGCUUAUGACUCUAAGUUCUCAAAGUUCAAGAUCUACAAGGUUAUAGAUUGUUAUUACAAUAUAACAAUCAAGGUAUGCAUUUUGAUCCCUAUGAUGUGAAUUUCCAUUAUAAUACAUAUAUCCUAGGGUUUCUUGUAUUGUGUUCAUUGUUUGCAUGUUCAAUAGAGAAAACUUAGAUCCAAUCAAUUUAGGGUUGCAUGAACACAUAGGAAUGUUUGUUUUGCUCAAAACCCAUCAUAGAAAACGAAGGUUGCACUAGAAGUGGGUCAAUAAUUUUCGAAGGGUUGAACCCUUUUGAAGUUAACAAAAGAUGAUAUCAUUGAAUAAAUGUGUAAGUUUUCAUUUUUCUUAUAUGUUGCUUCAAAUGUCAGUUCUGAACAAUUAUCUUGGGUGUAGGCUAUGAAAUUAGUAUGAUGUAAGACCUACUGUUAGGUCAAUUUUUCCCUAAACUUAUUACAUCAAUAAUACCAGUAUUAUAGACAGCUAUCUACUCUGUGGGGAAAAAUCUGUACACUUGUGUUUUCCUACUAACCUCCUAUGUUGUGAUCUCAAACAUUCAUUCAACUAUUGGGAUAUGCCUAAUUAGUCCAUGUGUCACUCUCACCCGCUUACAAUUGAUUCUUACCAUUGUAUUCACCUUUAUAAUCUUUCAGCAGAAAGAUGCCUCCUCGCAAAUCUCCCAGGAAUAACCCUGCACCACCACCACCUCCUCUUCCUCAGGUCAUCGAUAUUGCAGCCCUGAAUGCUGAAGUAGCUAUAGUAGUGGCAACCGCCAUGGCUCAGUAUCACUCUACUUAUGCCAGCAGAGGUGGAACNCUGACUUUAUUCCUGCUGAAAUCCUUGUGCGCUUGAGAGAGUGCUCCUUCAAGGAUUUCACCAACUGCAAGCCGAAUUCCUUCAAGGGGACCGGCAGAGUCAUUGCCCUCUUGUAAUGGUUCAAGAAGAUUGAAUCAGUCUUCGGAAUUUGUUUGUGCCCUUCUGCGAGCAAAGUCAAAUAUGCCGCGUGCACCCUUGAAGAAAAAGCCUUGACGUGGUGGAACGGCCAUGUUAAAGCACUAACUCUCGUUGUGGUCAAUGACAUAGGUUGGAAAACCAUGAAAGACAUCAUGAUUGAGGAAUACUGCCCGAGGGGCGAGAUCCAGAAAUUGGAGCAGGAGCUGUGGAGUCUAACCAUGAUAGGCUCCAACAUAGUCGCAUAUACCACCAAAUUGAGCGAACUAGUGGCUCUCUGCCCCAAUAUGGUUCCCACUGAAGGGAAAAAUAUCGAGAGGUACAUAUGGGGGCUAGUGCCUCCGUAUCAAGNGUCCUAUCAUCAACCCCUGCUCCCUUCGACAGGGCCAAGCGACUGGCACAACGACUCAUUGACCAUGGAGUCAAAGCCCCAGCAGCAACAACAACCCUAGCCAUCUCAGACCCCUCCAAACCCGCUGACACUAAGCGGAAGUUCUGGAACAACAAGAAGAAACAGCGAGCUGCCAAGAAGCAGCAAAUUUAGGCUGUGCAUGCCGCAAUAACCCCUGCUGCUGCUACUACUCCGGUGAGGCAGUAUGCUGGAAGUUUGCCUAAGUGCAACAAAUGCAACUUCCACCACAAUGGCCCCUGCCGUGAAAUACAGUGCUCUAACUGCAACAAGAAAGGACACACAGUCCAUUUCUGUAAAUCUCCGGCGAGGCCGAACACCCAAGUCCCCGACACUGGCGUGAGCCAGGACUGCUAUGGAUGUGGCGAGGGGGGCCACUAUAAGAGGGACUGCCCCAAAGCAAAGAAUGUUGGCGGAGCAGGGAGAGUACUAGCGAUAGGCCAUGGGGAAGCAGUUGUUGACCCGACGUUGGUGACUGGUACGUUCCUCCUCGAUAACUCCUAUGCAUGCAUUCUAUUCGAUAGUGGAGCGGAGCGAAGCUUGGUGAACCAUAAAUUUGCUCGCAUGCUAAAACAACAACCACACACACUUAAAGAACAAUUCACAUUAGAAAUGGCUAGUGGAAAAACUGAAAGCACAAAUAGCAUAUACUUAGGAUGUACCCUAACUCUAGAUAACCAUUCAUUUCCAAUCGACCUUAUGCCGGUCUCGAUUAAAAGCUUCGAUGUCAUCAUCGGCAUGGGUUGGUUGAGUCUUCAUCGCGCCAACAUCAUGUGCUUCGAGAAAGCAGUCCGUUUAAACCUACCGUCUAACAAAACUCUUGUCAUCUACGGCGACAAACCCAGUGCGAGUCUUCGUAUUAUAUCAAGUAUUCAAGCACAAAAGUAUCUACGUAAAGAAUACCAUGCAUUCGUUGCUCAGGUUGUCGAUACGAGCCUCGAAACGAAAGAACUAAAGAACAUUCCAGUAGUGAGCGACUUUCCCGACAUCUUCCCAGAAGAGCUACCAGGAUUACCUCCGCAACGACAGGUCGAGUUCAGAAUCGACUUAGUCCCAGGAGCUACCCCAGUAGCCAAGUCGCCCUACCGAUUAGCACCAACAGAGAUGCAGGAACUAUCCGCUCAACUUAACGAACUGCUCAGCAAGGGCUUUAAGACCAAGUUUCUCGCCUUGGGGAGCACCGGUCUUGUUCGUUAAGAAGAAAGACGGAUCAUUUCGUAUGUGUAUCGACUAUAGAGAACUCAACAAACUGACGGUCUAGAAUCGUUACCCUCUGCCUCGCAUUGACGAUCUAUUUGACGAACUGCAAGGGGCGAACUACUUUUCCAAAAUCGAUCUAAGAUCCGGAUAUCACCAGUUACGAGUGCUAGAGGAGGAUGUGCCGAAGACCGCCUUCCGAACUCGUUACGGACAUUACGAGUUCGUGGUGAUGCCAUUCGGAUUGACCAAUGCACCCGCAGUUUUCGUGGAUCUGAUGAAUCGAGUAUGCCGACCUUACUUGGAUCAGUUCGUAAUUGUUUUCAUCGACGACAUUCUGAUCUACUCCCGGAGUAAGGAAGAGCAUGGCAACCACCUACGACAGGUCUUAAUAACUUUACGAACGGAGAAGCUCUAUGCGAAGUUCUCGAAAUGUGAAUUUUGGAUCCGAAGAGUCGAAUUCUUAGGACAUGUGGUAAGCAAAGAAGGAAUCCACGUGGAACCAUCCAAAAUUAAGUCCAUUGAGAACUGGUCAGCACCGAAGACGCCUACAGAAAUUCGCCAAUUUCUAGGUCUUGCUGCCUACUAUCGUAGGUUCAUUCAGAACUUCUCCCGUAUAGCGAAACCUCUUACAAAACUGACCCAGAAGGGCGUGGCCUUUGACUGGGAAGAGAAACAGGAGAGAGCGUUCGAAACACUCAAGCGAGCCUUGUGCACUGCACCAAUACUAUCCCUGCCUGAAGGGAUAGAAGAUUUCGUUGUCUAUUGCGACGCGUCAAAUCAAGGGCUUAGUUGUGUUCUGAUGCAACGGGGUAACGUCAUCGCCUACGCCUCGAGACAGCUGAAGACACACGAAGUCAACUACACCACACACGAUCUUGAGCUGGGGGCAGUUGUGUUUGCCCUGAAGAUCUGGAGACAUUACCUGUAUGGAACAAAAAGCACAAUUUUUACCGACCACAAGAGUUUACAGCACAUAUUCGAUUAGAAGGAGCUCAACAUGCGACAACGACGGUGGGUCGAACUACUCAAUGACUACGAAUGUGAUAUUCGUUAUCAUCCGGGUAAACCCAAUGUAGUAGCGGACGCCCUAAGUAGAAAAGAAUAUUCUGGUUGAAGAGUCAAGUCAUUAACGAUGACUAUCCAUUCACACUUGUCUAAGCAAAUUCAGGCGGCCCAGCUUGAAGCCAUGAAACCUAAAAACGUGACGAGUGAAUCCCUUAGAGGAAUGGAUAAGAAUUUAGAAGCCAAGGGUGACGAAGCCUUAUACUUCAUGGACCGGAUCUGGACACUGAAGCACGGUGGUUUCCGAGACUUGGUCAUGAUCGAGGCGCACAACACUCCGUAUUCCGUCUACNCACUCGGUAUUCCGUCCACCCAGGUUCAGAUAAGAUGUUUAUGGAUCUUAAAAAGCUAUACUGGUGGCCUAUUAUGAAAGCAGAGAUUGCUACCUUUGUAAGUAAAUGCCUUACUUGCGCAAAGGUGACGGUCGAGUACCAGAAGCCCUCCGGUUUACUACAACAAUCAGAGAUUCAGGAAUGGAAGUGGGAGCGGAUCACUAUGGAUUUCAUAACCAAGUUGCCCAAGACAACAGGUGGACUUGAUACCAUAUGGGUCAUCGUCGAUAGAUUGACCAAGUCUGCAUACUUCCUGCCUAUCAAAGAAACUGACAAGAUGGAGAAGCUUACGAGAACAUAAAUUAUAGAAAUUGUACGACUACAUGGUGUCCCUAUAUCCAUUAUCUCCGAUAGAGAUAGUAGGUUCACUUCAAGGUUCUGGCAAUUGCUACAACAUUCCAUAGGAACAAGGCUAGUCAUGAGCACAGCCUACCAUCCACAGACUGACGGACAAAGUGAGAGGACCAUCCAAACACUAGAAGAUAUGUUGAGAGCCUGUUUGAUUGAUUUUGGAAAGGCAUGGGAUACUCAUUUACCCCUUGUCGAAUUUUCCUACAAUAAUAGUUAUCACAUGAGCAUCAAGGCUGCUCCAUUUGAAGCCCUCUAUGGCUAAAAGUGCAGAUCCCCUUUGUGCUGGGCUGAAGUGGGUGAUACCCAGUUAGCUAGGGGGCAAGUUCCUGACAGUACUCUCACAGGCCCGGAAAUCAUUCGGGAAACGACAAAGAAGAUCGUUCAGAUCCGUGAACGAUUGAAAGUCUCUAGAGACCGACAGAAAAGCUACGCUGACAAAGGAAGGAAACUAUUGGAAUUUUAGGUGGGAGACUGAGUCCUUCUUAAAGUCUCACCCUGGAAGGGCUUGAUACGCUUCGGUAAGCGUGGGAAGCUCAAUCCGAGAUACAUAGGACCCUUCAAGAUUCUCGCAAGAAUCAGUCUUGUAGCUUACAAAGUCAAUCUACCAGAUGAACUUCGUACCGUACAUUCUACACUCCAAGUCACUAACUUGAAAAAGUGUCUGUCCGACGAGACACUUGUAAUCCCACUCGACGAGAUCGAGAUCAACGAGAGCCUCAACUUCGUGGAAGAACCAGUAGAGAUCAUGGACCGAGAAGUCAAGCUGUCACACCCCAAAACCAAGAACGGCGGAAACGUUCUGGGGCGGAGGACGUCAUGUAAAGUAUCACAACACAGUAAAUGUAAAUAAGCAAACAACAUCAUCCAUUGCAUUAAAUAUAUAAUUUUAAUACAAGCGUGUUCUGUACAGUUAUAGACACCAAAAAUAAUGUAAAUCAAAAUAUUAAGAUGAGUCUUGGAUGCACUCCAUAUUCUCAAAAGCUGGCCUCGGUACCAGUCUACUGAUGACCUGAGAAUACAAGUUAUUUUGAAAGAGUUAAUCAGCAUUAAGCUGGUGAGUUCAUAAGUUUUUUAGUGUCGAUGUUUGUUAUCAAAAACGUUUGAACAUGUCUCAAUUGUAAGUUUGUAAAAUGUAAGUAAUUGUUUGUAAGUGUUUGUAAAAGUUUGAAUUCCUCAGAAAAACCUAUAUUUUCUAUUAAAGUAGCCUUCUACCAAGGCUUAACUGUUUUGUAUGCUCGUUUGUUGUAAAAGUGUGUAAUUUCCUAAGUGUAACUAUCAUUUAACAAAAUAUAGUUUGUACAUUAAUGAUUAAGUGAAAUAAUCACUAAAUAUAUGUAAUGGGUAAAUUAUUGUAGUACUGUAGUGUUGUAUUAUAGGAACUACUGCUGUACUAACUACCUUAAACCGGAUUUAUAUUAAGGUAUCAUGUGAUUAAUUGCACCAUACUAUCGACUGGUAACAACGACAUACGAAUGGUCGUAAUAACGGAAUGACGUUUGGCACCCGCAGACCUGCAGGUCCGGCUGUAGCUAGCAGCAAGGUGUAGGAUAGUCAAUCCAGUAUAGAUCUAUACGCAAACUCACGCUCUCCCUCCAAGAGAAUUCUGGCUACAACUCGGGCCAUGACAUUUAAGGCAUGCUCCGAUACAGUGGAUCACAAUUGUUAACGUAUUCAUGUAUAUGUAAUGUAAUGUUACUUGUUCUAGUAUCGUUGUAUAUGUUCUCUUCCUAGUAUAGUUGUAUAUGUUCUCUUUCUAGUAUAGUUGUAUAUGUUCUCUUUCUAGUAUAGUUGUAUAUGUUCUCUUUCUAGUAUAGUUGUAUAUGUUCUCAUAGUAAUGUAAUGUAUAUACUCAUGAAUGAACUGACUCAUUGAUCUAGCAGUUGUAGUAGUAUGAUCCUGUGUUACCCCGAUGGUAACUUACUAAUGAUGUGUCUAGUACGUAUGAAUAUGGAAGUACUUUUAUGUCUAUAUAUGUAUAUUUGAUAUAUAAUUAAUAUUGAAACGACCUUCGGAUGGUCACCCGAAAUCCCACCAGACCACAUCCAAAUCGAGAAAAAGGAAAUAGGGCGGAUGGCCUUCCUAAGCCCUUUAAACAUUAUUUAUAUAUCUAUACAUAUAUGGGCAUGCAAUUUAUAAGAAGUAAAACAAAGUUUAAUAAAAGCAUUUGAUAAGUAAAAGAGUUUGUAAAACAUUUUGAAGUAAAGCAGUUUGAUAAACAGUUUGAACAGUGAUAAAAUCAUUGGUUUUCUAGUUAUUAAUCACAUGUGAUUAAUGCAAUCACAUGUGAUUGAUGUAAUAACUAUAAGUAUUUAACUUGUAUUCCCCCCAUAAAGUAUUUAAAACAUUUAAAAGCAUUUCAAAGGUUAAUUAAAGGGGUAUGAACUCACUUGUGGUGAGUGGUUUGGAUUGUAGUGUCGGAUACCGUGCUAGGUGGCAAACGGAGACUUGUUCACACGCACGAGCCUAGUUAUCAUAUAAUGAGCAUAUAUAUAACUAAUUAGCCAAAUAAUAACUUAAUGAAAUAAGUUGGGACACUUAGGAACAUGUAAACACUUUGUAUAAGUGUUAUAGGUCCUAAUGGUUGCAUCUAAGUUGUUAUGGGACAAGGCUAAAGGGGUUUAAUGUACCAAAGGACCUUGUAUAAGAGUUUACUACCCAAUAAACCCCACACAAGGAGUUUACGGUCGUAAACCCUUGAGUUUACGGCCGUGAACUCCAAUCUUGGUGGUUUUGGGUGUUUUAAGGUGCUAAAUGAUUUCUAGAAUAAGCCUAGCUUGGUGGUUUAAUCCUUUGGGUAGUUUAGGGCAUAGAUAAUACUCCUUUGAGGAGUUUACGGCCAAAAGACCAUAUCCCUUAGAGUUUACGGCCGUAAACUCUCAUGGGAUGGAUGUUUUAAUUCUUUCAAGUCUCUUGCACAAGUAGGAUAAUUUCUAGGCUUUUGUUUAAGGCUAAGGGGAACCCUAGGCACACUUUGGUGCCCUUACUUGGUGUUUACGGCCCAAGAGCAUUUCUUGGCCGUAAACUCCCUUUUAGGGGUGAUUUUGAUGUGUUAAUGUCCCCAUAUUAGCUAGAAGUAAUUGAGGGUUAAAGUCUAAAGCCUUUGGGGGUGAUUAGGGCACAUUUAAGCCCUUGAAAUUGGUGUUUACGGUCCAAGAAACUCUUGGGCCGUAAACUCCUAAAGCUAUGUGUUCUUGAUUGUUUUCUAGUCUCAAAUGAUCAUACAUAUUAUCCUAAGCUAGUUACCUAACAAGGAAAUGGGACUAGAUAGCCUUUAAGCUUCAUUUUGGAGUUUACUCCCCAAGAACGUUCUUGGGCGGUAAACUCCCGGAUCUCACAUAUUUGACAUGUAAUCUAUGUUAUUAAGCAUAUAACAAGCAUUAUAAAACAACUAGAGAAGUGUACUCACGAUUUGGGAUGAAAACCCGAAGAUCCGUGAGAGAGAAAAUGGCUUUUCUCUAGUUGGAAAUGUGAAUAAUGAAUGAAUUUAGUUCAGAAAUCUAUUUAUAGUCCUGAAAUAUUUUGGCGGAAAAUAUUUUUAUUCCGGAAUUGGACUCUAACAUUAUGAAGUUUUGAAAGGCUCAAGUUUCACAAACCCAUGAGCAUCCACUCUCUUGAUAUCUCCUUAAUCAUAAACCCUAAUGUACAUGAACUUAUUCGGAAAAGUCUGAAAUUCAUUGAAACUAGACUAGCUUCUAUUGAACAGAUACUGUUCGUACAAAAUGGAAAUUUCGGGUUGUCACAUCAUCCCCCCGUUAGAAGGAAUUUCGUCCCGAAAUUAGAAUUUAAGCAAAUAUGAAGUUACAAACAAUUAAGCGAAAAGAUGAGGGUAUUUCAGUUUCAUCUGAUCCUCGCGUUCCCAAGUGAAUUCCGGUUCUCGCUUGGCGUUCCAGCAAACCUUCACGAUAGGGAUACGACUUUGCUUCGUCUGCUUGACCUCACGGUCCAUGAUCACUACCGGUUCCUCCACGAAGUUAAGGCUCUCGUUGAUCUCGAUCUCGUCGAGUGGGAUUACAAGAGUCUCGUCGGAUAAACACUUUUUCAAGUUAGAUACGUGGAAUGUAGAAUGUACGUUACGAAGUGCGUCGGGUAGGUCGAGUUUGUAAGCUACGGGGCCGACUCUUGCAAGAAUCUCGAAAGGCCCUAUGUACCUCGGAUUAAGCUUCCCACGCUUGCCGAAGCGUAUCAAGCCUUUCCAGGGUGAGACUUUGAGAAGGACUCGGUCUCCCACCUGAAAUUCCAAAGGUUUUCUUCGUUUAUCAGCGUAGCUCUUCUGUCGGUCUCUAGAGGCUUUCAAUCGUUCACGGAUCUGAACGAUUUUCUUUGUCGUUUACCGAAUGAUCUCCGGACCGGUGAGAGUACUGUCGAUAGCUUGCCCCCUAACUAAUUAGGUAUCACCUACCUCAGCCCAACACAGAGGGGAUCUACACUUUCGAUCGUAGAGGGCUUCAAAUGGAGCAGCCUUGAUGCUCGUGUGAUAACUGUUAUUAUAGGAAAAUUCGACAAGGGGUAAAUGAGUAUCCCAUGCCUUUCCAAAGUCAAUCACAUAGGCUCGCAACAUAUCUUCCAGUGUUUGGAUAGUCCUCUCACUCAGUCCGUUGGUCUGUGGAUGGUAGGCUGUGCUCAUGUCCAGCCUUGUUCCUAGGGAAUGUUGUAGUGAUUGCCAAAAUCUUGAGGUGAACCUACUAUCUCUAUCGGAGAUAAUGGACAUAGGUACACCAUGUAGCCGUACGAUUUCCCUAAUGUAUGUUCUCGUAAGUUUCUCCAUCUUGUCGGUUUCUUUGAUAGGCAGGAAGUGUGCAGACUUGGUCAAUCUAUCGACGAUGACCCAUAUGGUAUGAAGUCCACCCGUUGUCUUGGGCAACUUGGUUAUGAAAUCCAUAGUGAUCCGCUCCCACUUCCAUUAAGGAAUCUCUGGUUGUUGCGGUAAACCAGAGGGCUUCGGGUACUCGACCUUAACAUUUGCGCAAGUAAGGCAGUCUCUGGUUUCAUAUUAGGCCACCAGUAUAGCCUUUUAAGAUCCAGAUACAUCUUAUCUGAACCUGGGUGGACGGAAUACCGAGUGUCGUGCGCCUCGGUCAUGACCAAGUCUCGGAAACCACCGUGCUUCGGUGUCCAGAUCCGGUUCAUGAAAUAUAAGGCUCCGUCGCCCUUGGCUUCUAAAUUCUUGUCCAUUCCGCUAAGGGAUUCACUCGUCACAUUUUCAGGUUUCAUGGCUUCAAGUUGAGCCUCCUGAAUUUGCUUAGACAAGUGUGAAUGGAUGGUUAUUGACAAUGACUUGACUUUGCGACCAGAAUAUUCCUUCCGACUUAGGGCGUCUGCUACUACGUUGGCUUUACCCGGAUGAUAACGAAUAUCGCAUUCGUAAUCACUGAGUAGCUCGACCCAUCGCCGUUGUCUCAUGUUGAGCUCCUUCUGAUCGAAAAUGUGUUGUAAGCUCUUGUGGUCGGUAAAGAUAGUGCUCUUCGUUCCAUACAAGUAAUGUCUCCAGAUCUUCAGAGCAAACACUACUGCUCCUAGCUCAAGAUCGUGGGUCGUGUAGUUAACCUCAUGUGUUUUCAACUGUCUCGAGGCGUAGGCGAUGACCUUACCUCGCUGCAUCAGAACACAUCCGAGUCCUUGGUUUGAUGCAUCGCAAUAAACUACGAAGUCUUCUAUUCCUUCGGGAAGGGAUAGUAUUGGUGCGGUGCACAAGGCUCGUUUGAGCGUUUGGAACGCUCUUUCUUGUUUCUCUUCCCAGUCAAAGGCCACACCUUUCUGGGUUAGGGUUGUAAGAGGCUUCGCUAUUCGUGAGAAGUUCUGAAUGAACCUGCGGUAGUAGCCAGCGAGACCUAGAAAUUGACGAAUUUCUGUAGGAGUCUUCGGUGCUGACCAGUUCUCAAUGGCUUUAAUUUUGGAUGGGUCCACGUGGAUUCCCUCUUCGCUUACCACGUGUCCUAAGAAUUCGACUCUUCGGAUCCAAAAUUCACAUUUCGAGAACUUCGCAUAAAGUUUCUCCUUUCGUAAUGUCUCUAGAACUUGUCGCAGAUGAUCGCCAUGCUCUUCCUUACUUCGGGAGUAGAUCAGGAUGUCGUCAAUGAAAACGAUGACGAACUGAUCCAAGUAAGGUCGGCAUACUCUAUUCAUCAGAUCCAUGAAGACUGCGGGCGCAUUGGUCAAUCCGAAUGGCAUCACCACGAACUCGUAGUGUCCGUAACGAGUCCGGAAGGCUGUCUUCGGCACAUCCUCCUCUAGUACCCGUAACUGGUGAUAUCCGGAUCUCAGAUCAAUUUUAGAAAAAUAGUUCGCCCCUUGCAGUUGGUCGAAUAGAUCAUCUAUGCGAGGCAGAGGGUAACGAUUCUUAACCGUCAGUUUGUUGAGUUCUCUAUAGUCGAUACACAUACGGAAUGAUCCGUCUUUCUUCUUAACGAACAAGACCGGUGCUCCCCAAGGUGAGAAACUUGGUCUUAUAAAGCCCUUGCUGAGCAGUUCGUUAAGUUGACCAGAGAGUUCUUGCAUCUCGGCUGGUGCUAAACGGUUGGGCGACUUGGCUACUGGGGUAGCUCCUGGGACUAAGUCAAUUCUGAACUCGACCUGUCGUUGCGGAGGUAAUCCUAGUAGCUCUUCUGGAAAAAUGUCGGGGAAGUCGCUCACUACUGGGAUGUUCUUUAGUUCUUUCGUUUCGAGGCUCGUGUCGACGACAUGAGCAAGGAAUGCAUGGUAUUCUUUGCGCAUAUAUUUCCGUGCUUGAAUACUUGAUAUAAUGCGAAGACUCGCACCUGGUUUGUCACCGUAGACUAUAAGAGUUUCGUUAGACGGGAGGUUUAGACGGACUGCUUUCUCGUAGCACAUGAUGUCGACGCGAUGAAGACUUGACCAAUCCAUGCCGAUUAUAACGUCGAAGCUUUUUAUUGAGACCGACAUGAGGUCGAUUGGGAAUGAAUGGUUAUCUAGAGUUAGGGUACAACCUAAGUAUAUGCUAUUCGUACUUUCAGUCUUCCCAUUAGCCAUUUCUAAUUUGAAUUGUUCCUUAAGUGUGUGUGGUUGUUGCUUAAGCAUGCAAGCAAAUUUAUGGUUUAUGAAGCUUCGCUCCGCUCCACUAUCGAACAGAAUGCAUGCAUAGGAGUUAUCGAGGAGGAACGUACCAGUCACCAUUGUCGGGUCAGCAACUACUUCCCAGUGGCCUAUAGCUAGUACCCUCCCUGCUCCUCCAACAUUCUUAGCUUUGGGGCAGUCCCUCUUAAACUGGCCUGUUUCACCACAUCCAUAGCAGGUCGGGCUCGCGCCAGAGCUGGGGACUUGGGUGAUUGGUUGUGCCGGGAACUUACAGAAACGGACGGUGUGUCCCUUCCUGUUGAAGUUAGAGCACUGCAUCUCACGGCAGAGGCCGUUGUGGUGGAAGUUGCAUUUGUUGCACUUAGGCAAACUUCCAGCAUACUGCUUCAUCGGAGUAGUAGCAGCAGCGGGGGUUACUGCGGCAUGCACUGCCAUAAUUUGCUGCUUUUUGGCAGCUCGCUGCUUCUUCUUGUCAUCCCAGAACUUCCGCUUGGUGUCAGCGGGUUUGGAGGGUUCCGGGAUGGCUAGGGUUGUUGUGGUUGCAGGGGUUUUGACUCCAUGGUCAAUGAGUCGUUGUGCCAAUCGCUUGGCACUGUCGAAGGUAGCGGGGUUUGAUGCUAGGACAUUCCCCUGAUACGGAGGCACUAGCCCCCAUAUGUACCUUUCGAUCUUUUUCCCCUUAGUGGGAACCAUAUUGGGGCAGAGGGCCACCAGUUCGCUGAAUCUAGCAGUAUGAGCGACCACGUUGGUGCCCUUCAUAGUCAGGUUCCAAAGUUCCUGCUCCAAUUUCUGGACUUCGCCCCUCGGGCAGUAUUCCUCUAUCAUGAGGUCUUUCAUCGUUUCCCAGCCCAUGUCGUUGGCUACGAUGAGGGUUAGAGCUUUAACGUGGCUGUUCCACCACGUCAGGGCCUUUCCCUCAAAGGUGCAUGCAGCAUAUUUGACUUUGCUCGCAGCAGGGCAUGAACAGAUUUCGAUGACCGAUUCAGUCUUCUCGAACCAUUGCAAGAGGGCAAUGACUCUGCCGGUGCCAUGGAAAGACUUCGGCUUGCAAUUGGUGAAAUCCUUGUAGGAGCAGUCUCUCGAGCGCAUAGGGGUUUCAACCGGAAUUGAUUCAACAGGGGUUCCAACUCUGCUGGCAUCAUAUGAGUGAUACUGAGCCAUGGCAGUUGCCACUGCUGCAACUACGGCAACAUUCAGGGCUGCAGUAUCGAUGACCGGAGGCGGAGGAGGUGGUGGAGGUGUAGGGUUAUUCCUGGGAGAUUUGCGUGGAGGCAUCUUUCAGCUAUAAGUUUAUAAGGAUAAGAAAAGUGGUAAGAACCAAUUUGUAAGUAAGGUGAGAGUGACACAUGGACUAACUAACCAUAGCCCAACAGUUGAAUGAGUGUUUGAGAUCAUAACAAGGAAUAUUAGUAGGAAAAACACAAAUGUAAAGAUUUUUCCCACAGAUUAGAUGGACGUCAAUAAUACUGGUAUUACCGAUGUAAUAAGUUCAGGGAAAAUCGACCUAUCAGUAGGUCUUACAUCAUACCAUACAGAAAAGUUUGACAGUUCUUUGAUUCCUAAUUAGAGUACUAAAAGUUAGGAAUAUUUUUACAGACAAGUGGUACUUAGAGCACAGAUGUUAAAGGCUAUCCCUUAAUCAAAAGACAGAGAUGUACUAGACAUUAUCUAACGGCGAUGGGAAUUCCUCGGGCGAGCCCUGAGGUCUGACACUAGACGAAACACCUCUUGAAGGUGUCGCUCCUAAGCUCUCUGACGGGCUCGAAGUUCCAAGACUUCAGCUUGGGAGGCAGCUAGCUGUUGCUGCAGGGUUUCAUUGGUUCUCCGGGUCCGUUCCAUGUCUUCUUCAAGACGACGGAUGCGGACUGUGUUAACACCUGAGUUGGCAUCAAUCUCCAUGACCCGGUCGAUGGCUGCUCGACCUUGCUCAACAUUAUGAGCUAUUCUGCGGAUAAUGACGGGCAGAGCUCGGUCAGCAGAACCACCUUCACUGACGUUGUAAAAGCUUCGGUCCCCAAAGUAUGGUAAGGGUUGACCCUGUUCGUCACUCCAGCGAUUCAAGUUGGUUGCCCACAAGGGAGUAGGACCUGGAAAAGCUGGUCGGGGGUUGUUGUUCGGAGCUUGACCUACUAGCGGUAGGUUGUUGACUUCAGGCUCGGAGUCAGAUCCAUCAGAAAAUCCUUCUGCGAGGUGAUCAUCCAAAGGGAUUGGAUGCUCAUCUUCGGGCUCUUCUUCGAUCCACCCGGCAUUGCCUUCAUUUGGAAAGUACGGGUCGCCGUGAUGGAAUCCAGCCAUUUAAAUCUACGCGAGAAGAGAGGUAUAAGAAUAUAGUAUACAUGUAACUAGUAGUACAAAAUACACCUAUAGUAUUUUAAGUUUAAGUUCUACUGAUCUUCUUGUGGUAUUGUUGGUAAGUUUUUAGACUUGUUAACACAUCACAACCAUUCUAGGGCAUAUGCUAAUCACUCCUAGGACCAACAUAGUUGAUCAGGCUAUGCCAUUCCCAGGACUGACCAUACAUCCCCGAGCUCACUUGUGAUAUUUAACAAUCGUAAUACUUUUGUUCUUGUCAUUGUGACACUGAUUUUAGUAUGAAUGCAGACUAGUAUACUUAAUUAAAUAUUUUAAUAUUUAAAGUAUAGACUCUUGGUCAGAGUGCUUUAAUCCCUAAUGGGUUUAUAGU
RNAcentral lists this long non-coding RNA (59995 nucleotides) under Lactuca sativa (garden lettuce). Its description in RNAcentral is "long non-coding RNA (LSAT_LNC010059)". The record is from RNAcentral. Lineage: Eukaryota; Viridiplantae; Streptophyta; Magnoliopsida; Asterales; Asteraceae.